RNAcentral lists this long non-coding RNA (84182 nucleotides) under Medicago truncatula (barrel medic). RNAcentral's name for it is "long non-coding RNA (MTRU_LNC008229)". The record is from RNAcentral. Lineage: Eukaryota; Viridiplantae; Streptophyta; Magnoliopsida; Fabales; Fabaceae.
AAUUCUUGCCUAUAAAUGAAACUAGGUUAAAAGGAGAGAAUACAUUUUAUUUGUCCAAUAUGUUUUGUGAUAGAUAUUAAUCACCGCUAAACAACAAUAACGGAUAUUCGAUACAUUAUAAAAAAGGGAUCGUGCUAAGAAAUAAGUAUCCUUAGUACAUUUGUUUAAGAUUCAAAAUAUAUUAUUUUUAACAAAGUUAAUGCAUGAAAGUUGCCUUUUAAAGCUCCAAUGUGUUAAAUACACUAAUCACAAGAUAAAAUUUCUUCUGUAAGUUUCUUAAAAGAAAGUUUUAAGGACAUUUAUUUGUUAUCAUUUUUCAAAGUAUUUUAUUUUGAAUAGGAAAAAAAAAAUGAAUGGAGAAUAGUAAAGUCAGCAAAAGACAGAAAACAAUGGAGGACACCGACACGUUUCACUUUACCAGAAAGCAGCCACGUUUGAAUACUUAUGAGACAUUGACUUAGGUUGGACGGUAAUUUACCUACGUAACAAUUUCACUAAAAUACUAUAUAUGUUCAUACCUGAGAUUUUCAUAAAAAAUUAGGUUUACCAUUGUUUUGUUAGAAACAUACCACAUGUAACCAAUAAUGAAAUUGUAAGUUUUAAUUAUAGGAUCGAUUAUGAGACUCGGUUUUUAUAAUUCCAUAUUGAAUUGAAAUCCGUUUGAAUUUUUUUAUGUCUUGUCUUAUUUGGAUUUAUAUAGAAGUCUCACUUAAAAUAAGUUAAGAAAUCAAAAUGGACUCUUAAUCAUUGUAGAUGCACAAAGUUGUCAAGCACAAUUUAAGGACACUUUUACUAUUUGACUUACCACUUGCAAGUUUUUUAAAGUAAUGUAUAGUGACAGUUUAGUUAGAUGAGGUCUUAAUUAGAUGAGUCAGCUAGUGUGUCAAGUCACCAUUAUAGUGUUUAAUUUGGAGUUGGAAUUUUAGGUAAAUAAGGUUAAAAUGUGUUAUUAUGGUAUGAUGAUAGGAGUAUAGUAGGAGGAGGUAAUAAAGUGUAGGGAUGGUCCUAUAAUGAAGAGACGUAAAGGAAACGUAACAAGAAGAGGUGCAAAAUGCCAAGCAAAGUUGGAUUCAUCUUAUUGUUUGUUUGUUUAUUUGUUUUGGGAGACGAUAUGCGUUGGAUCUGUUUUGUGUACAACUCACUUCUCCUUCUAUCUCUUAUUGGGACUUUGGAUCUGCGGCUGUAAAAUUUGAAGUUGUAAUUAAUCUUAAUUGUUAAUCUAAAAUAUGACGAUUUACAUUGUAUAUCAGUUUAAUCAUGCUUAAAUAACUGGAACUUCUUUAUAUCAUCAAUCAAUGUGAACGUUUAUUUUAAUUGCAUUACUUUUACCAACAAACUCCUGUACCACAUGCAACAAAUGUAUAACACUUGUAUAACGUAAUGGUAUUUUUUUUACAAGUAACGUAAUGUUAUAUACCAUUAUCUAAUUAGAAUGUGCCACUUGUUUUUCCCUAAGUUAGAGGUUAGUGUAUGCACUACCAUCCACAUUAAAAAGCUAUUGUAUUUUUGUUUUAAGUAAAUGUCAUUGUAUUGCAUCAACUAUUUUCUAACACAUUUCCCAAAUAAUAUUUGGAUAGAAGAAGACAUCCCAAAAUGCUUUCAAAGUUUGAAAUUACAUGAAGAUUGUAGCUAUAAACGAGUAUUUUUAACCCACUUGGGAUGAUCUGAUGGUAUUGAUUUAGGGUGUACUCCUCAGGUUCGAUUCUCACCGAUACCAAUUUAGAUUAGCUAAUUUAGCUUAUUCAAAAAGAAAAAAAAAUCCCCAAGUAUGUCUUAAGAAGAGUUCCUUUCAACGAUAAAUUUGUUGCGCAAAAUUUUAAAUAUUGUGCAUGAUAUACAGAGCUAGAAUAUCAAAUAUAAGCCACCAGGGCCAGCCAAAUGUAUUUUUAGGCCUGAACCAAAAUUUAAUUAGAGGUCUUUUAAGUGCAUUUAUAAUGAAUUUACAAUGUUUGAUAAAAUGCUACUUUUUUUGAAUUUUUAAAAAAUAAGUUUUAAUUAAUUGUUUAAGAAUGUCAAUUAAAUUGAACAAAUUUAACGAAUAAGUUCAUUAAUUUGGUUUGGUUCAAAUUUUGUUAGAAAAGAUUGCAAAAAAACAUACAAAACCAAACUAUUUUAUAUUUUGAUAAAAUAAAAAACCAAACAAACUAUUUUUUCUAAAAAAUCAAACCGACGCAUUAUAUUUUUAUUUCAGAAAUAUUGUAGUUGUAUUAAUUAAAGGUGUGGCCUGUGAGCUUAGCUAAGUGCUAAAAGUGCUAAGGACAAUACAUAAUAUAUGCAAGGUCCAAGGUUCGAAUCCCGACUACCAUACAAAAAAAAAUAAAAAAUCAAAGGUGUGGCAAAAUACCACUUAUUCAUAAAUACCCUGUUCUCUUCUUCUAGUUUUCUAAAGAAAAUGAUUCUUUUAGAAUAUUAAUUAAAGGGUUUAUUUAGAAUGAUAACAUUAAAUAAAUAUAAUAAAAAUUGUAAAACAAAAUUAAAUAUACUUAAGUUAGUUGAAAUUUGUUUAUAUUUGAGUCUACAAAAUAGUUUUUUUUUCCUCCUUGUAUUUGAGUUAACGGGGAGUACACAACACCAGAGAGUUGAGAUAUCUUUCAGUAAUUUGGAGUUUGGUUUUAGAAAUUUAAACCAUCGAAGAAGAGUUUUACGCUUACCUAAUCUUAUUAUCUAUCUUGAAAGAUUAAUCGACGCAGUUGUAGUAAAUAUAUGAUCUACACAAAAAAGAGUAAAUAAAAAAUAGAGUUAAAUUCUUGAUAUAUUUUAUAAGACUUAAACAACACUUCUUUCGUUUUAUAAGUAUGGCUUGGUAGGUAAUUACAUGAAUAUUGAUAUGCAUGAGAUUUUUGCUUCUCCACAUUAAUAGUGUGAGAGCCUAACCAAUAAACUACUUGACCCAUAAGAAUAACACUCUUUCAUCUUGCAAUAACUAUCGUAUUUUACGCAAAUUAAAAAAGAUGAUAAAUAAAUAAAAAGAAUGAUGAUUAUACUAUCUUAUUCAAAUCAACCAUUUGUGUAUUUUCAUUAUUAUAAAUUCAGUGUGAAAAAUAAUAACUUUUGAAUGAUUCACAAAAAAAAUCAUUCGAGGGUAUAAUUAGAAGAAAAAAUCAAUCAAAACUAUAUUGAAAAUUGACAAUGACACUUCUUUUAUAACACAUUUUUCUUACAAAUAUGAUUGUUAUUAUGAGACAUUCACAAGUAUUAUUUAUUUAGUUCUUUAAAAAAAAGUACUAUUUAUUUAGUUCAAACUCGUUUAAUUGAACAUUUGUUUGUUGGUAUCCGUUAAUUAUAUGUUUCCCUAACUAAAGAAAUGGUAGAGAUACAUCACCGAUAGAAUUGUUCAGUUGAUAGAAACAUUGUAUUAUAUAUGGGAGUUGAAGUUCGAAUUUUAAAUUUCUCAUUUAUUUACUUUAAAGAGUGAAAUUCUAACCACUAAACAAAGAAAAAAAGGUAGAGAUAUAUUUACGGCUCGGAGUGCCCAUAAGAAACAAUCCAACGAUAAAAAAAAGUGCUCUAUAGACAAAUGCAAAUCACCCCAUUGCCAAAUCCAUAAAUUACAAACCAAAAGUUUGCUUUGAGGUAAAAUAUUAACUAAUUCUCAACGGCAAACAAUGUUAGAAAGUCAAUUUUCCACCGUAAAUGGCCGUCCAUGUUUACCUUUCCAGGCUGGUUCACCUUAGUUUAAUUAAAAUCUAUAAAGUUUGUCACUCAUCCAUCGGAGGCUCCACCACCAAAGGUUUUCCUCUUUCUUUUUCAAAAACUAUUAUUAUUAGUCAAGAUUUUUCUUUGGCAAUCAAGGUUUAAAAUAAAUUGAGGAAGAGAAAAUCAGUAUCAAUAACGAUGAUACUAGUGACUGUUUUAUAAUUGUUCAUGUGGCUUAACCUUGAACUAUACCCUUUUAGGUAGUCAUGGUUCUUGAAAAAAACUUUCAAAAAGUUAAAAAUGAAUUUCUUGAAAGAACAUGAAAAGUUGUUGGUACAUUUUCUAACCAAACCCAUGAACAUAUACAUCAAACUUUUUGUUGUUUUCCUUUCUUUUCUUUUUCCUUGUAUUCUCACUACACUUUUUUUCACUGAUUUGAGACUACAUAGUUUUCUUAGCAUGUAUAGCUAUAGAUAUAAAUGGUAUAGCUAUAGACAUGAUGUAAGAUGAAAUAUUAUGUUUUAGUUUGUUAUAUUUUUUUAUAUGCUUAUGACAUUUUAUUUAUAACAAUGUGUUUAAUAGAGUAUGGUACAUGAUCAAUCAAGAUUUGGAAACUAGUUAGAUAUGUGAUCUUUUUGGCAAAAAUAUAUACAACGAUCAUUUUCUUUUCUUAUAACAAACUCAACCUGCGAGUUUCUAUAACAAGAGGAAAAAAACAUAUCUACAAUUGCGAAUAAUGUCAUCAAAUUUAACGACAUCUCUCUUAUCCAUCAAGAUGAAGAUGAUCAUAAGCUUCUACAUCUGAGAAAUGGUGUCUAUGUUGUUAGAGUUUUGAGUGAUUUUCAAAUAAUGAUCAAUGGUGAAUCACCUAUGAUCAAAGUGGUCUAUUGUAAAAUUUUCCUAGUUUAUACAAUGUAAUGUCAACAAAAUAAUACUCUUUUUUUUUUUUUGGUUGAUAGACGAACUAACAAUUGUCAUUAAAAACUCAUAUACAUAAGUGUAAUAGUCAUAGUUUUAACCAUAAUCACGGCACCAUACUUAACAAUUUAUGCAUUUUUGUUGGUUAAACAAUUUUUGUGAACAAAUAAUACCCUCUUAAAUUGCAUUUUUUUUUACAAUUUUUUUUUUUAUAUAUAGAUAAUGGAAUUGUAUUAUAUAAACCAUUAUUUACACUUGAAUAGAAGACAAGCGGACAACAAGCUGAGCCGUUAGGCCUUUUUGGAUGGCAAAACCAAUUCUCAUAAACACAACAUUCAUGGACCUAGGAGACAUGACAUUGUUAUGCAUGACCUUUUGAACUCUAUGUAGAAGGUCAACAGCCUCUGCUGCUUGAAAACCGAAAGUGUCAAAAACAAAUGGAUAAAUCGCAUUUAAAUUGAUAAAUUAAUCCAAACAAUAUAUACUCCUACAUUGUUGGAAAAAUUGAGCAUGGUGUGAGGGAGUCUACAUUGAAUAUAAUGUAUUCAGCACAUACUAUUCAAUUAAACUUAACCUUUAUUUUCAAAUUCAUUAUUGUGAAGUGUCACUCAUGAAGCUUUUUUGUAUGAAUAACUUAAGCUUAUUGUUUUUUUUUUUUUUGAAGGAACUUAAGCUUAUUGUUGAAGAGCUCCAUCUAAAUUUUCUACAUGAAACUGCUGAAAAUUGUCUAUUAUCUUGAACCAGCAUAAAAUUAGAAGGAACAUUGAAACAAUGAGUACUAAAGUAUGAUAAAGUAGAACAUACAACAAAUUAAGUCUAAAACAAAGAAUACAAUGUACACAAGAGAAAUGUUUUUCAAACGCAAAUGCCGUAUUAAAUACGGUUUUAACUUUUUUAAUCAGUUUUUCACUCUCCUCAAGAUCCAAAAACAUUUUAAAUACACAUGCAUGUAUUAAUAAACAUUUUUUAAUGUAUUUUACAUGAAAAAAAAUUCUUUGCACCUCUUAUCUACUCAUAUGAGGGCCAACCAAAUAAUAUAACAUAGGUGGAAAAUCUCGUAAAAUCAGGGACGUAGUUAAAGGGUGUCUUUGAUAUUCAACUCUUUAGCUGUUCAGCAUAUUCUUGGUAUUGGACUCUCCUAAGCUAAGGUCUUAGUUAUAGCCAUUAUGGAGUAUUGACUGACAUAUGAUACAUCAUAUCCAAACUUUCAUUUGCUUUUGCAUUUCAAUGGAUGUCCUUGUCUAAGGAAAUUUCGACCCUUUUAAAUAUUAUAAUUUCAUAGCUUUACUAUUUUCACUUUCUAAGUGUCCCUUUGGUUGGGGUCACUUUGAUGGGAUCUAUAUCAAAACAUUCAUUUGGAAAGAAUAUCUGAGCCGGGUCCUCUAAUAAGCUUGUAUAGCAUAUACGGUAUAAACAUAUUAUGUACAUUAGUUUUACCUCGCAAGACUUAAACUUUGAAAAGUUGCAUGAAUAUUCACCAUAUCCGAACUAAGCCAAAAAAUGUGUGUCUGUCACCAUGUACUACUUUGGAUGAUACUUAUUUGUUUUCGUUGAAAAUUGGCUAAAAAUUUGAUGUUGAAUUGAAGGGUUGUCAAAAAUCACAGCGUGAUUGAUUUUAAUCGUGGCACGAUUUGGUUGAGCAAUUUGAAGGUUUUGUUCACAAAAAUUCGUUCUACGAUUGGGUUAAAUCGUAACACGAUUUUGGAUUAGGUUUAGUACUAUAUUGUGGUACGAGCUCUAAAUCGUGGUGUGAUUCAGACAAAUUGUAGCGCGAUUUUGAUGGGAUUUGAGUAAUAUAUAAGCCUUCAUUCUUCAAUUCUUUCGGUGGCUUCUAUAAAGAGAAUUCUGUCAAAUCAAAGGAAGGAACUUUAGAGUUGAGUGUGUUUGGGUGAGGUUCUUAGGUUGGGAAAGGGUGAUAAAUCUUUCUUUCUUGUUUUUUCUAUUCCUUGUGGGUUUGAGUGACUUGAAAAAUUAGUAGAAAUUAAAGUUUGUAUCACUCACUUCAUAGUGGAUUGAAGAAUUGUUAUCUCUCCUGAUGUAGGAUAAAUUUAUCCUAACUAGAUAAUAAAUUUCUUGGUGUGUUGUUUUUCUGUACUCGCUUUUUUUGUAGCUUUGGUUAUGCCUGUGGGCUUCACAUUUAGAUAUAGAUCCGUUGUUAUUGUUGUUGCUAAAAGUUUUUUUUUUUGAACAAACAAAAAUGGAUUAUAUUAACACUACUAAAGCAGCCCUCUCAGCACAAGAUGUACCGAAAAGACUACUUAAAACGAUACAAGCAGUUUAAAAAAUUACAACAAGUUGUUAACCAAUGCCUAAACACGACAAUGGAUUCGACAACCACAUCUGAUCACCAAACAUAAAUACAACCCUAUUGGCUUUCAGCCACCACAAAGAAUGAUACUUUACUUUGUCUAAUAAUUGAACUAAGGAACGUUCUCUUUGCUUAAAUAGCCUGUUAUUUCUUUCAUUCCAGAUAACCCACAUCGUGAGUAACCAAAUAAGCUGAAGAAAAGAUCUCCUUGAUUUCAAACCACCUGUGUAAAAUGAAAAAUGAGCACAAUGAUUUGAAAUAUCACAAUGAUCGACACCAGCAAAACCUAUCCAAGACCUCACCAAAGACCAUAAAGAACCAAAGAAACUGCAAGACAAAAAUAAAUGUCGUGCAUCUUCCACGAAACCACAUCUUGACACACAUAAGCAUGCCUCUGAAUUCAAAAUACCACGAUAUGCUAAAUUAGACAUUGUAGGAAGUCUAUCUCGAAUCAACCUCCAAGAAAAAAUAGACACCUUAAGGGGAACAUGUUUGUGCCAAACCAAUUCUUCGCAAAGACCAUCCUGCUGCACUUCCUGAUUGGUAAGCAUAGCAUAUGCCCCACGAACUGUGUACCCUUGACUAGGAUCCGGUUGCCACUGCCACACAUCAUAGGAAAGAGACUGCAAAGAAACGUUAGCAAGUAAUAACCUACACUCCACAAGGGGCUCUUCCUCCCACACCCACAAACUCCUACGCCAGUACCAUCCCCCUCCCUCCUCCCCCCAUCCUAAAGAAAACAUCUCUUUAACAGUAAUGGAUUUAUUUAAAGCUAAAUCAAAUAACAUUCUAAAUCGAAUCCGGAAUGGGACACCACCACACCACCGCUCAUGCCAAAACAAGGUAUCGUCCGCAUCACCCACACAUCCCUCAAACCAGCCAACACCGCCCCCACCCUGCCCUUCUCUAAUCCUACUAACCUCCUUCCACCAAAUAGAACCACUCCGGCCCCCAUCCUCCAACCUCCCAUCACGCACACCAUACCUAGCAACCAACACCCGAUACCACAACCCUCAACGAUCAACAAGUAACCUCCAACACCACUUCCCUAACAACGCCUCAUUAAACUCCCUCAACCGCCUAACUCCUAAUCCACCAUACUUCUUUCUUACACACACACUCUGCCAGCUCACCCAAGAUAUUUUUCUACGUUCCCCCCCCCCCCCAAAAAAAAUUUUUUUUUUUUUUUUUAUAGAUAAAAUAGAUUCUAUGGAAGAGAUUGUACCUGCUGGAGCCUUGAAGAAGGAAAGAGCAUAGACAUGUAGCGCGGUCAAGAUAGACUUUAGAAGAAUCAAGCGACCUCCAAAUGAAAGAAACCGACUUUGCCAAUUAGACAGUCUAGAUUUUAUACGGUUAACCACAGGUUCCCAAAAUGACAGACGACGCGGGUUUCCACCAAUCGGCAAUCCCAAGUAAGUAAAGGGCAAUGUACCAACCUUACCAUUCAACAACGACGCUGCUUCUGUUAACCAAGAGUCAGAAACAUUUAUACCAACCAACAAACUUUUAUGGAAAUUUAUUUUUAACCAAGACACAACCUCAAAAAGAAUUAAAACCGCCCGCAAUGCACGGACAUUCGUCCAACUCUUCUCACCUAGAUGCGAUACCACCACCUCAUUUCCAUCCCCAACACUAUAACCUCUAAACAAAUUUGCAUCAAUCAUAGCCUUCAUCAUAACAUGCAACCCCACUACAGCCAGUAAAAAUAAAAAUGGGGAAAGAGGGUCACCCUGAUGCAGACCUCUACCCAAAGGAAACUCAUCUAUGGGGCUACCAUUCACAAGAACGGAUGCGGUAGCCGUUGUAACACAUUCUUUAAUCCAUUUUCUCCACAAUGUCGGAAAACACAUUUUGGCCAUCACCGCGUCUAAAUAACCCCAAUCAACAUAAUUGUACGCUUUCUCAAAAUCCACUUUAAACAUCAAAAUUUCCUUUUUAGUCUUACGAGCCUCAUCCACAACCUCAUUCGCAAUCAGAAUUCCAUCUAAAAUUUGACGAUUUUUAACAAACGCAGUCUGAGCAUCUGAAAUUACACUACUGAUAACCUGCCUUAACCUAUUAGCCAACAACUUAGCCAAAAUUUUAUACAAACUUCUGACCAAAGAAAUAAGACGAAAAUCAUUUAAAGUUUGAGGAGAGUCUACCUUUGGAAUGAGUGCUAUAAAAGUAGAAUUGAUACCCUUAGAUAACUUACCAUUCCCGUGAAAUUCACCAACAAAACGCAUCACAUCAUCUUUCAAAUAAAUCCAGAAGUCUUUGAAAAAACCAAAGUUGAUACCAUCCGAACCUGGACUCUUAAAACUGUCACAAUCCCAAAUAGCUGCUUUCACCUCCUCAACUGAAAACAGCUUAAUGAGACCGCCCCCUUCAGCAUAAGACAACCCCCGAAACUGUAAACCAUCCACCGUCGGCCUCUGCACAGAAUACGACUGAAAGUGACUCGCAAAAUGAGAAAACACAGCUUGACCAACGGGCUGCACACCUUCCACCAAGGCUCCAUUCACAUUGAUUGACACCAAAGAGUUUCUACGCCUCUGACCACCCAAAAUUGUGUGAAAAUAUUUCGAGUUAGCAUCACCUUCCCGAAGCCAAGUAAGUCUAGAUUGCUGCCAACAUAUACUAGUAUUAAGACGGGACAAAGAAUGGAUAUCUGACGUAAUUCCACGUAACUCCUCAAUCUCUUCUUCAGCUAGAUCCUCCUCUUCCCCCCUUCCAUCAAAAACAGCUUGCCUUUCCUUUAAGGAUUUAAUCUUUCCAGCCAAAUUAUGAGUAUGAGCCAAAUGCCAUUCCUUCAAAGCAACCUUUAUAAGUUUCAAUUUCUCUUUCAAAACAAAACCACCCCAACCUGUGACUUCCAAAUAUUUCCAUUUUUCACUUACAAAAUUCUUAUAUCCAGGUACUUCCUGCCAACAUUUCAACAACCUAGAAGGCCUCGGUCCCCAAUUUUCCUCAUCAACUGUCAACAGCAACGGACAGUGAUCAGACAAACCACGUAAAAGAGCAACCAGAUUACAAUUAGGCCACAAAACACACCACUCCUCUGAUAAAAGAAAACGAUCCAACCUACUCAUCGACUUCCCAUCACCUUUAAACCAAGUAAAACUGCGCCCAUCCACGGUAAAUCCACCAACAUCAAUAAAACCGUUAAAAGGAGCACAGUCUGCAAACGUUAAUCCAUUUCUAACUGAUCUUCGUUCCUCCACACUUCUAACCGCGUUAAAAUCCCCACAAAUACAAACCUUUUUACCACCCAACAAAACCAAACGAGCCGAUAAAGAAUGCUAUAAUGCUUGUCUUACUGUCUGAUCACACGAAGCAUAAACAUUGAACAAAAAACACUCUUCAUUGGUCCGAACAAACUUUCCAUGAAUCAACAAAAAAUAAUCACCACUAGUAGAGUCACACACCUCAACCUCCGCACUAUCCCAAAUUGUUAACAAGCCCGAGAGGCCCCCACAGAGGGACGAAAAGAAUACAAAUGAGAAGACAAUCCCCAAACUGAAGCACUUAGCAAAUCAUCACAUAACUGCAAUUUAGUUUCCUGAAGACAUAAAAUAACUGGUAAUUUCUCCCCUACCAACAAGCGUACAUCCCUUCGUUUCUCUAACCCUCCCGCACACCUACUCAACCUCCCCUUACCGCCUCCCUCCCUCACCCACACCACGACUUUUUAACUUCUUAACUUUGUCCUUCUUCACCCUUGAUAAGACACUAAACAUAUUAUGAUUUUCUCCUUUAAAAUUUACUCCAAUUGCCUUCCCCAAACCCCACACAUUCUCCACCUCCACCUCCUCAUUUCUUCUCAAGACCACCCAAUUUUUCCAAUCAUUAUUAACAGAAGAUGAUGAAGAGGCUCCCUCUGAAAUACCUUUUGAAACCAUUUCCACUGAUCUAGAUACUCCAGCUUUGCCAUGUCUCUUACGAAUCCUCCUUUUUAAAUCAUGCAACACAGCCCUUCUAUCAUUAUAAGGAAGCCUCGCCACCUUUUUUAGGGAAUGAACACAAUGCCGAAGAACUCCCCCCACCUAUUUACGUUUUGACUUACUAGCUCCUUCAGAAUGCUUUGUUUCUGUACUAGUAGCUACUUGCUUACCCUUCCUUCUAGAUGAAGAUACAAUACCUACAUCACCAUGAACCUGAUCGCUUAACCACUCCAUGCUCCACGGUCCAAACACGGAUGACCUCCCCGCCUCUGGUGGGCAAGAACCCGCUCGCAUUCUUCGCUUUACAUUCUCCUUUUGACCUGCCACUUGAUUUAGCAUCCUCUCAACAGAGUUCUCAUUUUGAAUCCCUACUUCCGGUAUGUCGACCUCCGAAUCAAUGUGAUAUGCUACUUCCACCAAUGGAGAAGCCGCAACAAGAACAUGUGAAUUCUUAUUUAGUGACCCUAUUGGAGAAUUAUUGGCACCAACGUGAUACCCAUAGGAAACCCUAGAUGUAACCCUACCGUCGUCUGAAUUCCGCGAACCAUGAUACACCAUAGACCUAGAUCGUCGCCUGCCAAACGAAACUCCUAGCCGCAUCCUCUCCUGCUGUCCGUCUUGACCUUGCUCGUCCUGUCGCAGCGCUUUCCGACGUCGCGGUCUCACAGUCUGCCAAUCAUCCCCAUCCCUCCCCGUUUGUGGCACCCCACCAUGGCCCCUUGCCCCCACAUAGAACCUCUCCUCCGAUGAUCGGAACCGGCGCACAGACCUGUGGCAUUCCCGUUGUUCAACGCGAUCAACGCGUUUCUCUCUCAGUCUCACCAUCGCUCCUAUACUAAUUGUUGCUAAAAGUAACUUUGAUUACUCGUUUCUUUUGUUUAAUUUUAAAUUCAAAUUCACUAGAGUAUUUUUUUUCUUUUCUUUUUGCAUAGUUUCACUUAAUUUCAGAUACAAAAUCCUAUUUGACUAUUGUAGAACCCUAAAUGUGAGCUCCUCUUCUAGAAGAGAACAUUGUUCGUUUUUAAUUAUCGGCUAUCCAAUUUAAAAUUUUAAAGUUACAUUAAACAAGGUUUUGUAAAUUAUAAUCUUACUUUAUCAAUUAUUUUACACUUGCCUUUAGCUUGAUUAUUUUAAUUGAUCCAUUAUUGAUUGGUAGUUGAUAUUAUGAUACUUAUAUUAGGAUGAUAAACAUAUGGUCUUAUGGGACUGAUCAACAAUACCCCAAUUUUGUGAUGAUAAAUUUAUAAUUAAUGUCAUCAUUAGUAAUUUUCAUUUUGUCUGCAAGAAGAUGAUGAUCCUUCCAUACUUUUCUUCUGCACACACACACACACACACAUUUUAAUGGGGGAAGGUAUCGUAUUAAAUGAAAAUUUGGACGUUGGAUCGGGAUGUUGACCUCAAUGUCUAAGUCACCCUUUCUACCAAUAACAGAAAACAAAUAAAUCUGCUUUUUCAAUUAGAGGAUACUAACUGUUUUGACACAUACAUCAUUAAUUAAUUAGCACAGUAUCACCAAGAGAUUUUUUUUUGUUGAAAAAGACAAUGGUAUACAAAAGCAUCAUUCUCAAAUUAAUUAUUUUUUCUUUAUAAAAGAAGGGGCAGUAUAAAAUAAAUUAUGAAAAAUAAAUAUCGGUAGCCAGAGAUCAUGAGCACUGGACUAUUGCCAAUUUGAGCCUUCAUCAACUAAAAACCAACUAAAUUAAGAUUCUAACCCUAGAUUAAUAUUUAUUUUUUUGAAGGAAACCCUAGAUUAAUAUUAUUCCUGGACCCAUCAUAUCAUUAUUUCCAGUGCACAUUAUUCGUAUCCAACGUGCUUCUAUCACUCAAAGGCCUAACUCAAAAACUCAAGGUUUAUUUUUAGUAGUUUCUUUUUCGCAAAAUUACACUUUUAGUCCUUUAACUUAAUUUCAGGUAAUAGUUUGGUCCUUUAUCUUUUUUUUUCAUUUUAAUUUGAUCAUUUUUGUCCAUUUUCAUAUACAUUUUCAAGUUUCAAAUCUAAUAUUCUUAUGCAAACAUAAACGAGGAUCAUAGAUUUGAAGACUGAAAGAUCAUAAGAAAAUAAAAUCAUGAAUUUUAAGCUUAAAAAUUCAUAUAAAAAUGGACAAAAAGGACCAAAUUGAAAUAAAAAAAAAAAGAUAAAGGAACAAACUGUUACCUAAAAUUAAGUUAAGGGACUAAAAGUGUAACUUUGCCUUUAUCUGUGCUUGCAGUUUGAAAUAUUAAAAUUAUCUUCCUUUUUAUAUAUAUUUUUUUGUAUAAAAAGUAAGAUCUCUUUCUUUUGUAUUUAUGCUAGCCGUAUGUUCUUGGUUGUUCACACAUUUUUUUGGGUUACGAAGUUUUAUAAUUAUCCUAUGGAGAUUGGAGAGGUUCAUGACCUCAUGGGGACAGUUGAUAAUGGCCACUUCAAAUUUGAACAAAUAAUGUAGGCCAUUAUCCUCUGACAUGAGAAGAAUUCGUCAGCCUGAUCACAUUGCAUCAUUCGGAUACUAUUUAGGUGACAUCGUGGUUGGUGACAUUGAUGACAUUAUCAAUUAUAAUGUUUCAAAUGUAUAAAACAACAAAAAAAUCUCGUAAAAGAAAAAAAAGAAAGUCACAUGUAACGUUGUGGUUGGUCAAUGUCACCAACCACAAUGUCACCCAAGUCUUACCGGUGUCAUUCACUCAUAAUUUAGAUGGUCUAAACAAUAAAUAUUGUAAUCAGCAUGUUUUCCACGACUUUUUGGAAAAGAAAAUGUUCCUUAGUUUUAUAUUUUCAAUUUGAAAAUAAGAGUCUAGAAAUUGAGGUUGGUUUACUUAGUAAAAGUAAAAUUGACUUAUAUCACGUAAGGACUUGAGUUUAACUUUCACAGCUAAGUUAAAAAUCUUGGCGAGUAAUUUAUAAGUAUAUCUAUCACCGAUCUUUAAAUCUUGAUGUUUGUCAUGUCCGUGAUGAGUCUUCAGAACCCAACGUACCUAAACUUUUUUACAUUAACAAAUAUCUUAAAGACACGUGUUAGCAUUUGCUAAGAAAACAUAUAGUUUAGUGUCUGAAAUUAAUUCUCCAAAUAUUAUUUGGUAUAAACUCUCACUAAGAAGUUGUUAGUACCAAAACAAAACAAAAAAUUGAUCGAACUAUAUAUUGGGAUUAUUUGGGUUCAGAAACAUAAUCAGCUGAGUAAAAAUCAACUGGGUUCAGAAUCAGCAAAUGCAUAAUAUGUUGAUAGUUUAAUGUUGUAGCAUAGUUUAUCUGGAUCACUUGAAUGAUGAUAUUUGUCUUAAGAGACUUGUGGUAAUGUUGAUUAAAAACACAAGAGACAACAACAUUGAGAGGACCAGGUUGGAAUGUUAUAUUAUGUAACAACUUUUAUGAUUCACUUUUAUAAAAAAUGAAUCAUAUCCACUUAAUUUUCAAAUUUAAUCAAUCAGGAUAUAAUUAGCUACUUAUCUUCCUCUCUUCCAUCUUCAUUAACGUCUGGACUUGGAAAACUCGUCGGGCCAAGGACACUAGAAGCAUCUGAAACCUAUUGAAAACAAAAGAAUACAAGUUACAAACUCAACUUAGUAAAUGUUUUUAUAAUAUUAACAUAUAAACUCAGUAAAAUACAAUAUACCUGUGUUGCAGGUUGUAUAAUAUCAUUCACAUCUUCGACAGAAAAUCGAUUUUGUAUCAAUGUCGCAAAAUUUGCCAACAAAGCACACGUCCUCUCUUGACUUUCUCUCAUCUGCUUAAGUUCAUCCAGUAACUCUUGUUUUUCAGACAAAGAAGCUUUCAAUUUUUUAGGUUUAUGAAUCUUGCUUAUACAACUUGAAGUUGUGGAUCUCUCACCAUGGAAUAUCCAUUCCGUAUAACGUCUAAGAAAUCCGUAUCGCGGAUCAGUUAAGUGUUCAUAAACAGUACUGCGAGAAUGUGACUUAUAGUUGGCACAUUUUGUACAAGGACACAAUAUUUUUCCGUCAUCUUCUGGCGUUUGAAAAGCAAAUUCAAGAAAUGUGUUAACGCCUCGAAUAUAUUCAUCGCUUUGUUUUGUUGGAUUGCAGAUCCACCCUCUAUACUCCAUUUGACAAAAUUAACUGAAACCAACCAGAACCAAAUCUUUAAUGCCACCUUAGCAGAACAUACCUUCUCAACAGUUUAACAGUUGCUCUUGCUCCAUGCCAACUCUUAGUCUUUACCAACAACACUCAAACAAGAAAAAGGAUUUAAAAGCCAUAUUGAUUCUGUGCUAAAUCAAAACCUUUUGACUUAAAUUUCAGAAUCUUUCAAGAUAGGAUUUUUGGCAUCCUCCACCACUUAACUUGUUAACAUGUCAUAGUGUUCAGCAUUCACCUUUGGAGAUUAACUCUAACAAUCUACUAAAUCUCUAUAAAAUUGUUGAUGAUUUAUUUGCAGAACAGAAUUUUUCAAAGCAGAACACUAAUUAGUCGGGUCCGAAAGAAACAGAAACCUAGCUCACUAAAAUCCCAAGCCAACUUGAGUAACUAGUUAGGUUCAGAUUUGUCAUGCAGCAAAUUCAACUAUUCAUAAGAAUGAUCCAAUAUGGUUUCACUCAACUAUUGGCAUUCAAAAUCCCAUGAUAAGUCACAUUCAGAAGAACUUGGGUUUAUAUGUGCACUCUCUCAAGACAAAUACAUAGCUCGGCAUUGAAACUGUGAUUGAAUAAGUACAACAUUUUUCUAUUAUUAAAAUCAUGGUUCAUAACCUAUUUCCAGCUUAUUAAAAAAUGAGUUAAAAAAUAAUCAUCAUUUUUUAAGAGGGAAAAUUAAAAAAUAAAAACUGAAAUGAAAGUUAAAAUAAUCAUUUUCCUUCUUUUAUUUUUUUAAUCUCUAAUAGGUUUUGAUAUAUGAUUUUUUUUUAUCAAGUAGUUUAGUUGUCGAAAAUCACACAUUUUAAAUGUGGAGAAGUGAGAUGUUUGAUGUUCGAACUCCAACCCUUGCAAAUCUAUGUAUAUAUGUAUGUAUAUUUUAAGGAUUUAUGUUCUUUUAAGUCUUAUAGGAAGGUAACUUCAGAUGACAUUAAAUCUACCUUUUCUUUUUUUGGUCAAGAUAUCUGAAAUUACCUUUGUAGUUUUUCUAAAGUUUACUCAAAAAUAUCAUAUGGAAAAGUGCACUAAUUUGGAAAUAAGUCUUUUAAAUAAAUUUGGAGUGUCUCAUGUUGUAUGUACAUUUCAAAUUAAUAUUCGCAUUAGUUUUCCAUUGCCAAAACACUGCAUGGUGUGGGAGGAGAUUGUCUUGGUUUUUUUUCUUCUCUCGUAUGUAAUCUAAGCCCUCCAUUAAAUUGGUGAAAGAAUGUGUUUGUAAUAAUAAAAAGGGAGAGAGCGUAAUUAAAGAUGGAUAGUUAGACAUCGCAGAAAAUUGGAGAGAUCUCCACUUGAGAGGAUCCGCUCCCGCAUGGUCUUUUGAUUUACUUUGUAAUGUCCAACUAACGGAACACACAAAUUUAACUUCAUAGGUGUUUUUUUUGUUACCAAAAAUGAACUUAACAGGAGUCAAACACAAGAUCAAAAGCUUAGAGAUGAGGCGCUUGACCACUAUGCCGGACUGUUAACUCAUAACGUCAUAGAUGUUUAACCUUUCAAGAUUUUUCUUGAUAUAAUUUUCUGGUGAAAUCCACAGCAUUUUACUAGUUUGAUCUCUAAGUGAUCUUCAUAAUGAAAAUCCUCUUUAACGAAUACAAAUCCUUUAUUGUGAAAAAAUAAUUUGUUCAACUAUAUUGGUUCAUCUCUCCCAACAAUUAGCAUGUGGACCAACAUACAGAAUCCUCUCAAAAAAAAAAAUACAGAAUUUUGAUGGAUUCACAAUUGCAUAUUUGACCAUAAAGACACAAUGAUAUGCAGAGGUAUUUUAAAGAGAUCAAAUUUUUUAUACCAUUUCCUAGUAUUAUUUACCUUUUUUGCAAAACCCCUAUGGUUUCUUUAAUAUAGUGUCUUGAAAUAAAUUUUCUAUCUCCAAUCGAAGACUAUAGACCAAUGAUUUCUCUAACUGGUGCAAUCUGAAGUCUUAACUAUACUAUCAAAUUAUAGAUAGUCAACUCAAAACAAACUAUAUCAAUAAUGACUUUUCUUAUUAUUUUAACUGAUUAGUAAGAGAAAUUAAAUCACUGGUUUAACUACUGACUCAAACCAACUGAGUUGACAAAUUCUGUCAAAAAAAAACUGAGUUGACAAAUUAAACGGUCAAAACCUUCCACCAAUGGGACUAAUGUCAUUUAUUUAGCAAUUCAAACAAACAUAAGCAGACAGAGACACUCAUGAAUGAUGUUUCAUGUUAGCCUGCAUCCAAUUUAAAAAUCUUGCAAAUUAGUUUUAUAUAUCCCUUUGAAAUACUCAACACAAACACUGCAAACACAUACUUAUAUGAUGAAUAAGUAUUACUACUAGCUCUUACUUUUGUAAUUUCAACUUCCUUUCUUCAAAACACACUAUUAAUUGUCCUAUGGCUUUGAACUUUUGUAGCCACCGGUGCUUCUUCUUCAUUGCCGCAGUCUUAUCGGUCUUCGCCACAACGCUGUCAAUGUCUCAGCAGCAAGCAUCUGAUUCGUGCAACGGAAUAUUCCUGUCAUACACCUACAACGGCGGCAUAAAACUACAGCCAAACUUGACGGACUCGGCUGCCCAACCGUCCCGAUUUGAGUCGACACUAACAGUGCUCAACAAUGGACUUGUGGAGCUGAAAUCUUGGAAGGUAUUAUUAGAGAUAUAGUUAGUUAGUUAGUUAGUUGAUUUUCUAUUUGUUAUUAGUUUGUUAGUCACUUUCUAUAUCUCAAAUAGGUGUUCGUUGGAUUUCGUCACAGAGAAUGGUUGGUGUCUGCAUCCAAUGCAGUGCUUGCUGAUGGGACUAGUAUCCCUGGUGCCGUUGGGAAUGGCACCGUUAUUGCAGGAUCAUCGGUGAUCGAUUUGAAGACUGCAGCAGCGACUGCAGGAGACUUGACACAGAUGCAGGUUAAGGUAGAUAUGGUGGGGACGGUGGUAGGGGUUGUGCCACCCAGCGUGCCAAUGCCUUCUAUCAUAAACCUUGCUAAUGAUGGUUUCAUAUGUGGUGAAGCCAUUUCUCAAGGUUCGUAUGAUGUUGUGUAAAGUGGAUUUCUUUCAUUCUUUCAUGCAUAUUUACAUUUAUUUGGCGUAAACCAGUAUCUUCCGCGUACCAGAUACUAAUCUCUCAAGUUUUAUGAAACUCAAAUGGACAACAAACUCUUCCGAAAAAUUUUAAUGUUGCUUCAUGCCCAAACUCAAUUUCGAACAUGAAGUCUUGGUUAAGUUAGAAGAGAUUUGUGUAAUCUCAUCUAAUCAUUAUUGGAAUUGGAAAUGUUAACGAGUAAACCUGGCUAACAAGAAUUUCUUUUGUAGGAACUUGUAAUAUAAUAUGGUAUAAAUUGAUAUAACUAACUUUUAAUUUCUGAUGACUCUUUUUCAGGGAACAAUGAAACUCAUGUAUGUUGCACAAGUGAUCCCAAUUACAAGACAAAUAUCACAACAAAUGAAAAAUUUCUACCUAGACAAAAUGGAGAUCUUACCAUAAUGUAUGAUGUGAUCAAAGCAUACAAUUCCAAUUAUUGGGCAGAGGUCACAAUUUCAAAUCACAACCCUCUAGGCCGUCUUGACAAUUGGAAAUUAAGCUGGAAUUGGACCAAUGAUGAAUUUAUCCACACAAUGAAAGGUGCUUAUCCAUCAAAUAUAGAUUCAUCUAACUGUAUUUUUGGUUCACAAGGUGAAUUUUACAAGGAACUUGACUUUUCCAAUGUAUUGAAUUGUGAAAAAAGACCAACAAUAAUUGAUCUACCACCAACAAGGUUCAAUGAUACACAACUUGGUAAAGUACCAUUUUGUUGUAGGAAUGGUACUCUAUUACCACCUUAUAUGGACCUCACCAUGUCAAUUUCAAGGUUUCAAAUACAAGUUUAUAAAAUGCCACCACAUCUCAACCGGUCAAGCCUUACACCACCACAAAAUUGGGAGAUUAAAGGUGAUACAAUCAACCCCGAUUACAAAUGUGGGGCGCCGAUUAGGAUUAGUCCUAGUCAAUCUCAAGAUCUUACAGGGUUACCUUCAAACAUAUCUUCAAUUGCAAGUUGGCAAGUUGUGUGCAACAUAAGUACAAAGUCAUCAUCAAAAAGUGAUUCUCCUAAAUGUUGUGUCUCAUUUUCAGCUUAUUAUAAUGAAUCAGUUAUUCCUUGUAGCACAUGUGCAUGUGGAUGUCCUAGUAAUCAAGAAAGAACAUGUAGUGCUACUACACCAGCUAUGUGGCUUCCAUCAAAAGCACUUCUUGUUCCAUUUGAGAAUAGAAAUGAAUUUGCACAUGAGUGGGCUAGUUUGAAAAACCUACAAGUACCUAACCCUACUCCAUGUGGUGAUAACUGUGGUGUGAGCAUAAACUGGCAUGUAAAUUCAGAUUAUGAAAAAGGUUGGACUGCAAGGAUCACAAUUUUUAACUGGGGUGAGACGAAUUACGCUGAUUGGUUUGCUGCGGUUCAAAUGGACAAAGGUGCAAUAGGUUUUGAGGAAAUGUAUUCAUUCAAUGGAAGCUUGUUAGAGAGAUUAAACACUACAAUAUUCAUGCAAGGUAAGAAAGGAUUGAACUUUCUUGUAGCGGAAGCAAAUGGGUCAAACCCUCGAAGAGAUCCGAGGGUGCCUGGGAAACAACAGUCAGUAAUCUCGUUUAGAAAGAAAAAUAAAGAUGAAAUCAAUGUUGUUGGUGGUGAUGGUUUUCCUAGUAAAGUGUUCUUUAAUGGGGAGGAAUGCUCUCUUCCUUCGGUGUUUCCAAGCAAUGGUUUGAGAAAUGAAUUUUCCUUGGCUACUAUUAUGAUCCUAAUAUUGUUGUCAAGUAUGUUGAUUCAAUAUUGAUGACAUUGUAUUUAUAUUUUUGAAGAUUGGUUGUUUUUCUAUAUUUUCAGAUUUGUGUAAGACAAUAUAAACAUAUAAUUUUUUUAACGAUAAACACUACUCCCAGAAGCCUGAAAUUUUUACAUAAACUAAUUUAUAUAUUUUGAACAAUUUAAAUCACGUAUGAGCUAGCUAAUUGCAGAAUGAUGAUUAGAUUCAUGUGGAACACCAACUAUUUACAUUGGCAACUAUGAUUAGAAAGAGAGCUAACAGGAUCUGUUAUAAACUGGAAUGUUGUCUAUGGAAUAUCCAUCAAAGUCAAACUCAUUAUCAACUUGUCCAAUGCCUUUGUGCUGCGAGAAAUACAAAAAAAAAAAAAAAAAAAAAAAAUGAUUUGUCUAUAAAGAAAAACAAAGUAAACAUAAAUAUUUAGGGUCAACAGAAAGGAAGAACCAACCUGGUUCAGAAACACACUCAUGAGAUCCUCUUGACUUUGAUCAGAGAAGGGGUUAAUCUCGAUGUUUGUACCCGGAAUUCUUUCACUCUUACCCCUUAAUGAAUUAUCAACAAAAGGUGUAUUGAGGUGUUGACCAACAUUUUGGUGAUCACCUUGACUCAUACCAUCUCUAUUUUGUCGAGUCUGUUGGAUAGAGGAAAAACCACGAUGGCCUAAAAUCGACGGCGAGACAUCAAUGUUGCCUUGUAAAGUAUUUGAAUGUUGAGAACCAUCAUAUGUCAGGCCUGUAUUUGCUAAUCCCCAAUCAUUGGACUUCCGAUGGAGUUCAUUAUAAACAUCAUAACUAAAUCCCCCUAAUCCUUUAAUUCCCGAAGUAGCUUCCGCAUGAAAUGCACCUUUUGUACUGCUACUGGAUAUACCUGAAGUGCAUCUAAGAGGGAAACUAUUGACUGAUAUUCCAUUUGGUCCUGUAGGUUGCAUUAAAGAUGAUGGAAACAUUGUAGCAUGAGAAUUUGUAUUCUCAUUUAGCACCUGACCUCUUGGUUGAGACUGAGCCAUCUGCGUCAACCAGGGGCUUCUCUUUGCAGCAGAAGCAUUGACUCGCAUAUUUGCGCUGCCAAAGGAUUGAGCAGACUGGUGAAAAUUGGCAAACUGCUUCGGCUCAAUGUUGAUAGGGAUUCCGUGAAGAAAGUUCACCGGUUUACUGCUGCUCAUAUGUUGCAGUUGCCCAUCUCCAAAUCUUAGUUUUGAGUUCUCAGGACUGUAAAGUCCUGCUGCUUGAAGCUUGGCUAGACUUUGCGCCGAGAACUGGCCAGAAGCUGAAAGGGUUUGAAGAUCAAUUUCAUUUACAGAGGUUCCUCCAAAUAUUGACUCUUGCGCACUCAUGAAGGAGUUAUUCAAGUUACUUUGCUGCUGGGAAACUCCACUCAACCUUCGAAGAUACAAACGGUAUUUCUGUAAAAGAAAAUAAAAAACAGAUGAAAAAAGUAAUAAAAAACAUGAAGGAGUUGUUCAAGUUACUUUGCUGCUUCUUCAAGUAAUAUCGUUGAUGAUGACUGUAUCUCUUAACAUCCAAGGUGGAUUUUUUAGUCUUUACACACCCCUUCACACCAAAGAGUGGACAUCUGGAGUGUGACUCUAGCGGGCCAAUGGUGGUGACUUGAUAGCCAGUGGCCCAUGAGAUCUUGUAUAGGCUCUAAUAACAUCUAGAAUAUCGGUUGCAAGAUGAGGAUCGUCCACCACUUCUAAACUAACUUAUUAUAGGUCAUAUCUCAUCUAACAUGGGACUCUUAACAGUAACAAAAAUAGAAGAAGUAUAAUCUUUUUAGUAUAUCAUACCUGAAGAUGACUGGCAACGUUUUCUCUAGUGAGCCCAGGAACAUUCAUCAUUUCCAUAAUCUUUUUCGGAACAGCCUCUGCAUAUCAAUAUCAAUUUUGAAAACAUAAGAAGGCGUCUUUACUUAACAUUGCAUAUAAAAAUCAAUCAGACAAGCAGAAAUAUUUAAGAUUUUAUGGGGGAAAAGGGCCAAUUUAGAGAUAAAACAAACUUGUUAUACUAAGGUACCAAGGGAAUUUAGCACGUAAAUUAUGUAGAAUCACAAGGAUUAUAUCUCAGAAAAACUUUAAGGGAAUGGUUUGUGCGUUAGAUGAGACACCGUGUAAAACAAACAAAGAUGAAAGAGAACAUUUUUGCAAGGACAUAACAUAAUUGAGGGACACAUACUGUCUAAUCCCAAUUGAUUCACAACAGCCAUAAACUGCUGAUGAAGCUCAAUAGACCAAACAACUCGCGGCUUCUUUGACGUCGAACAAUCAUCCCUAUCAUCUGCUUCAUCUUCUUCAUCCCUCCUCUUCUUUGAGCUCUUGCCUUCAUUCGUUGAAGAUGAGUAAUUAGCAUCAGUGGAUGCCUUUUUUUCUCGAUCUCUUUCAUCUAAUCCACCAGAUUGCCUCAGAUCUUUCCAGCUAUUCUUUCUCUUCCUAACCACAUGCUGCCAUAUAUUCUUCAAAGCCUCAAUUCGCACAGGCUUGAUUAGAUAAUCACAAGCACCAUGUGUCACACCUUUCAUUACCACGUUUUUUCCAUCAUCAGCCGACAUCACUAUAAACACAUUCACACAAACACACACACACACAAUAUGUCAGCUCAUGUCAUUGCAUAUUCCAUCAAUUGAUCCAAAACAAUAAAAAAAAAACAAUACUUACUAAUAACAGGAAGAUCCAUCUCCAAUCCAAUAUGUUCCAAAAGUUUGAAUCCAUCCAUAUCCGGCAUAUGCACAUCGCUUAAAACAAUGUCGAACCCAUUUUUAUUCUCUCUAAGAAGUGAUAAUGCAACCUCAGCUCUCUUACAUUUGGUAACUGAAAUAAAUAGACCCAACAAUCAAAACAGAAUCCAAUGAUGAACAACAAAACUUACACAAUAUACUCAAGUCUCAAACUUUAACUUUGGAAUAAAUUCCAAUAGUUGAAAAAAACACUUAUCAAACAAAUCUACCAUAUUAAAUCAUAUCAAAAGCAUAAUUCAAAAGAAAGAUGGUUGCAACCAAGAAUCUAAACUAAAAAUAAAAAUGGGUCUGAACAAAAAAAACUCAUUCAAACAAAAGGGUAUUACUAAUUUGCAUCUAAAAGCACAUAAACGUUGAAAAAAUGAUGUAAAGUUAAGAUUUUUAACACUAAUUCAUGAUGGGCAAGAGUGAAACAAAGAUGAAGAUUGAAAACCUUCAUAGAGGCAAAAACGGAGCAUUCUUUCAAGGAUCAUGAGGCAAGUAGGGUCAUCAUCGACAACAAGUACACGGAGACCCGCCGGAAACUGGUCGGAGACAAGGUUGCCGGAGUUUGAUGGUGAAGUUGAGGUUGACAUGGAAAUUUUGUUGUUGUUGUUGUUGAGUUUCAUGGUUCAAAGAUCCAAAUAGUAGACAACAAAAAAACAAAACACAAUAUUUUGUUGUUUUUCACUUAGUUGAAGUAAAAAGUGAUGAUUUUAUGGAACAUAAUGUUAUUAUUAUAUAUUAAACUAAAAAUGUAUUGGUUGUGGUUUGAUUCUGAAGUUGAAAAUCUGAAACCUUAUAACAGUUGUAACUUGCAAGUUGAUGUUGAUGCUAAGUUCCUAGCUUACUUUAUUAGUUUCACUAAUAUAUAUUUUCUUGUACAUUUGUUUAAUACAUUAUAUCAUUAAAGAUGAAUUCAAAGAUUACAUUUAGUGGAAUGAAUCUUAAAAAAACUAUCAUCUAUGUUUGUACAUAAUUGUAAACUUAAGAAAUUAAAAUUGCAGUUAUUGUUCGAGCUGACUCUUUUGUAAUAUAAUAUUAUUACGUCGUUGGUUUAACUCUUACUGAUGUAUUUCUUUAAAUUUUAAAAUUUGGUUUAAUUCUAAUGAGCUUUGAAAUUUAACUCACAUAAAUUCUUUUUAAGAAAAAUAAAAAAUAAAUUUGUACAAUUAUAAUACUAGUGAGAAUCAAAGGUAGAAAAAAAUUGUAGGAAAAAAGCAACCCUUUUAUGACAUACGAGAGAAAAAUUAGAGAUCAAAAUUUGCAUAAUUGAAAAAUGCUUAAAUGAAGUAAUAAAAAAUUAUAUUGUAGUAAAGGUUUCUGUUUUUCAUACAAAUUUUUAUGACAAUUUAUAUUGUAAAAAUAUCUUCUAAAAAAUAAAGCAAACGAAUGCUCCUCAAUUGUACGGUUUGUGGACCUUCAUAUUGAAGCAUAACCCAGAGCCACGUGCAAGGAUAGGGAGGGCUUUUAGAUUGGACCACUGCAACAUGAAAAUCAAAUUGGCUCAUUCUGACAGUGUUACUAUACAGUGCCUUAAUCCCAUAAAUGUCCAGGUCAAGACUUGGUUGCUUUCGUUACUAUAAAGGAAGCCAUAAACAAAAUGAUGGAAAUGUGUAUUAUUUAUUGACUUAAAUAUGUAAAAAUGUUCCUUUAAGUUGGUGUGUUUUUACAAUUCAUCUUUAUAUCUUGGUUUUUUCUAAAUUGUCUUGGGAAAGAGGUGGGUAAACUGCUCAUCUUAACGUGGCAUCACUAUAACAUGGACAACAGUAAUUCACAAUAAAAAAUGGACGAGGAGAUGAGUUUGAUAUAUUGACCCAGUAUACUUUUGUUAUUAGCAGAUUGACCCAUUAAUUAAUUUUUAAAAAAAAAAUUCCAAAUUAUUUUCUUCUUCUGCAUAACUGUUUUCUUCUUCAAUAUCAAAUAACUGCUUUCUUCUUCUACGUUUUCUUUUAGUUUUUCAAUCCAACCAUUUCUUCCUUCAAUCCAUUCAUAAUUUGGGAACAAAAAUUGAUUCAUCUAUCCGACGAAACUCUCUCAUUCAACUAAUUCUGCGUUUUCAUCUUUCAAUUUUUCAACCCAACCAUUACUUCCUUCAAUCCAUUCGUAAUUUGGUAAAAAAUUGAUUCAUCAACAUCAAAUUCAUCCAUCGUAUUUACUCUCCACUCAUACCGUUUCUUCUCUCUCAUCUUUGGGGAAAAUGCCCUAAGAAACUCAUCUCUGUCACGAAACCCAUCCCUAAGUUUUUUUUCGUUUCACUCUCUCACGGUUCUAUCUCUCUCUCUCUCUGAUGAAACUCCAUAAUCUCUCACGGUUCCAUAAUUUGGGGAAAAACAAAAUUGAUUCAUCUCGACUCAAAGCCUUUCAUCCCUCUCAUUCAACUUAUUCCUCGCGGAUUUGCAAGUAAGUAUUUCUUGUUUUAAUUGCUAUUUAAAUGGUUCAAAUUGUUUUGUUUGAUUUGGGGGUUUAGGGUUCUCCAUGUUUUAAUGAAUAUUGAAUUAUUCACUGGCUGUGAUUGUUUGAUUUGGGAUUUAUGAAUCAUGCUUGGUCUGAUACAAAUAUGUUAUAAUCCUUCUGCAUUUUUUUUAUUCACUCCUCAUGCUUUGUGCUACUUUGUUCUGUGUUAUAAAUGGAGAAGUUGCUUGAAAUCUGUCCCAUUAGCUGUUUUAUUAAGUAAUUAUUUUAGUUGGGGUUCUAGCAGAACAAGAUUGACUUUUUAAUUCUUGUUUAGAUCAAAACCUUUUUCUGGAUAAACCAUAAAUCUUUUCUCAAUGUCCAUCAUCUGAAUCAAAACCUUUUACUACAAGUUGUAACUGUGUUGGAGCUUAUUGAAAAUGUUUUAGUGUUUCACAAGCUAUAUAUCCUUCAGUCAUAUAAUUGACAUAUGGUGCCUAUUUUAUAGAGGCAUUUGGACGGAAAUCCGACAUCAUUACGAUGAAAUCCUAAACCCUAAACCCAACCAUUAUAUGAUGACUGAAGGAUAUAUAGCUUGUGAAACACUAAAACAUUUUCAAUAAGCUCCAACACAGUUACAACUUGUAGUAAAAGGUUUUGAUCCAGAUGACGGACAUUGAGAAAAUAUUUAUGGUUUAUCCAGAAAAAGGUUUUGAUCUAAACAAGAAUAAGAUCUUGCUAUUGUUAUUGCUAUUAAUAUCCCUAUUGUAUAGCCUCUAAAAGGAAUUAAAAAGUCAAUCAUGUUCUGCUAGAACUCCAACUAAAAAAAUUACUUAAUAAAACAACUAAUGGGGCAGAUUUCAAGCAACUUCUCCAUUUAUAACACAAAACAAAGUAGCACAAAACAUGAGGAGUGAAUAAAAAAAAUGCAGAAGGAUUAUAACAUAUUUGUAUCAGACCAAACAUGAUUCAUAAACCCCAAAUCAAACAAUCACAGCCAGUGAAUAAUUCAAUAUUCAUUAAAACAUGGAGAACCCCAAACCCCAAAAUCAAACAAAACAAUUUGAACCAUUUAAAUAGCAAUUAAAACAAGAAAACUUACUUACUUGCAAAUCCGCGAGGAAUAAGUUGAAUGAGAGGGAUGAAAGGCUUUGAGUGGAGAUGAAUCAAUUUUGUUUGCCUCCAAAUUAUGGAACCGUGAGAGAUUAUGGAGUUUCAUCAGAGAGAGAGAGAGAGAGAGAGAGAGAGAGAGAGAGAGAGAGAGAGAGAGAGAGAGAGAGAGAGAGAGAGAGAGAGAGAGAGAGAGAGAGAGAGAGAGAGAGAGAGAGAGAGAGAGAGAGAGAGAGAGUGAAACGAAAAAAACUUAGGGAUGAGUUUCGUGACAGAGAUGAGUUUCUUAGGGCAUUUUCCCCAAAGAUGAAAGAGAAUAAACGGUAUGAGUGGAGAGUAAAUACGAUGGAUGAAUUUGAUGUUGAUGAAUCAAUUUUUUCCCAAAUUACGAAUGGAUUGAAGGAAGUAAUGGUUGGGUUGAAAAAUUGAAAGAUGAAAACGCAGAAGCAGAAUGUAGUCUGGACAAUUUUUUUUAGAAGAUAAAACUUAAUUAAUGCUUGGGUAAAUCUGUAAAAUAACAAAAGUAUAUGGUUACAAUUUAUAAAACUAAAUAAUAAGUAUUUCAAAUACAAUGAGUAUACGUGGCUGCUUUUUAUUAUUGUUAAGAUACAUGGGUAAAUUGCCCAUGUGUUUGUAAAGGUAGGCUAGGCCUCACCUUAUAUCUUUCUUUUUUAAAAAACUAUCAUUGUAAGUUGCUAACCGUUUGUAAUUAUUAUCUUCCGUUAACUCCUAUUACAAAAACGUUGUGGUCGUAGACAUAGAGACAUAUGACGAAGGGUGAGUUGGCAAAAGCAUGUUUAUGUGUCAAGAGAAAUGAUGAGCGGCUAGAAAGGAGAGAUCAGAAUCAAAAAUGCAAAAUUGCACAGGUAUGAAAAUAAAAAAUUAAAAACAUAAAUUUUGUUCAUUCAUCUCCCUCUGUUUUUUUUUUCUUCAUCUCCAACCCCAAUUAAAACUCUACACUUCGAUUUUUAAUUGUUUUUGAUACCUCUUGUGUUGUAGAGCUAAUUGCAGACAAUUCACUAUUAUGGCUUAAACAUGAUUGUUAACUACACACUCACAACAACAAUUCUUCAAUCGAGUGAAAGUCUUUUCCUCUGGAUAAAAUUACCCUUCUUUAUCUUCAACACAAAUCUGGAAAAAAUUACACGGUCCACACACCAUCAACAACCUCACCACAACCUCUUCCAUCACCAACAUCAUCCAUCUCUCAAUCGAAUUGACAACAACUUCCUAUGAAUCUGAAGAACUCAUAAUUCAUCACUCAAUUGAAGAACCCAAAGCACACAACAACAACAACUUCCCUAAUGAAUAUGAGUUUGCAAGGUUAUAUUUUGUUUCGAUUUUGAGGUGUGUUUAGUUCAAUUUUGUAACUCACAACAACAACAUUUAACAACAAAAAUUUUCCUAUGAUAUUGAAGAACCCCAACUUCCUAUGAUAAUGCAAGGUUAUAUAAAUGAUUGAAAUAUAAUAAAUAAUAGUAUAUUAAUGGUAAAAAAUAAUAAAUGUUGCAUCAGUAUUAUAAAGAAGUCUAACAAUUUGAAAUGAAAAAAUAUUAAAAAAGACACUUAAUGUGGGACGGAUGGAGUGUAAAUAAACUUUCUUUUUAUAGCGUGCACAUCUCAAAUGCAACUACUGUCACUUGCAUUGCUUGUGUGUAACAGAUAUGAAUAUGAAUGUUUUUAGGGAAGUUUUGAGGUUCAUGCGACGUUUAACAAAAACAAUUGAUAGAAAAGUAUAGCAGACCCAAGUGUUUUGAGAGAGUUUUACAUUCUUUCAAACUUCGCUCUUCAUUUUCCCCCAUCACUUCUAUGUAUCGUUUUUUUCUCUCAAUAUAUUCAAAUAAGUGAUUUUCAUAUGGAGUAUAUUAAAUUAUAAUUUUAAAGGAUAAAUUUUGUUUAAAAAAGUCUUCAAGGUUUUAAAAAAAUUUAUAGGAUUUUAAUGACUUUCAUGAUUUUAAAAAACUAUUAGAAUUUAUAAUUUGGAUUCCAAUAAAUUUACAUAAUGAUUUUAUAGAUUUAUAAGAUUUUAAAAGAUUUUAUGAAUUUUAAGGACUUAUUGAAAAUAAAGGAUUUUAUGAAUAAAAGAUCGGAGAUAUUAUGAUACUCACUAUUUUUGUUAUAUAUGUGUCCUUCUAGUUGGAACAAGAGUAAUCAUUAGUUUUUUCAUUGAAACACUUCACUCAAUUAUUAGAAUCUAAAAUUAUUAUUGCUAAAAGUAAAAAACCUGGACUUAUUGCAGUUACAAUAUGGUGUAAGUGUCGUUAUAUUAAUGUAUACCGCAGAGAAAGUGUGAAUGGCACGUACUCUAAACUAUAAGCUCUUCCACAGUUUUGUUUAAGCAGAAGAAAAGAAGGACAUGGUAUACACACAACUUGAUCUGACAGAUUCUAUGAAUAAAGGGAUCUUAACAGUGAUGCACCAAGGGUAAUGAACUUUAUACGUUAAAAAACACUAUUAAAAAAACAAACAUUAGUGAGAGAAAUUUAAUGAGAGAAAACAUGAAGUCCUUCACUAAUUUCGUCAUUAAAUUUUACGAUUAAGAAAUUUGUGAGAAAUUUUAUUUUAUUUCGUCAUUAAUUUUUUUGCUAAUUUUAAUUUUCCUAAUAGUGAAACGAGUAAACCACUAAAUAGAUUUCGUCUUUGCAAACCACUUUUAAAUUAAUCCUUUACUCUAUUUACCCAAACUUCAAUUCGUGUAGAGUUUUAUAAAUAAAAUAUUAAAUUGAUUAUAUUAUUAAAAAUCGCCCAUAAAAAAAUUAACAUGGUGAAGCCUUAUAGGAAAACAACAUGGGUAGUUGAAGUUGUUGUUAAUAAGAUCAUAGUACAUAUUAUUGGUUGUUUAUGUAGGUUUUCAAAUUGAGAACAAAGUCACUAUAAAGUGGAACAUUAAAAAAAAGUGAGAUAUACCAAAAAAAAAAAGUGAGAAAUUAAGUAAUUGAAAGAAGUAAUUCUAGAAUAUAUAACCUUCAACUUAGAGGUACAUGCAACGUUACCCUACCAAUGGCUUCUAAAGUAAUAGCACCACAGUUUGAUGCAUUUUUUCAUCGAUUUUCACAGCAAAAAUCUAGUUGAGGAAAAUUCAAGAAGAAUAAGUAUUUUUCUUGGGUUAUAUUCUUUUUGCCUUGGGACAUAAAUUCCUCAAUCUAUUAUUCCAUUCCUUCAUAAAUGUAAACCAAUGGUCACAAAUAAAUAAGAAGUAAAGAAACCACAUAUAAAAAAUGUCAUAUAUGAAUUAAAGUUGAGUAGAAUAGAUUUAUGUACACAACAAAGUAAUGAGACAUGUCUAUGUUGUAAAAUUAGACAUAAAUUAUCUUUAUAAAUAAUAAUCAAUGUAUAAAUAAAAGAAUCAAUAAAAUAUAAACAAAAGAGAGAUCAAUAAACUUAUCUCUUUUAAGAUUGUUGUUGAACUAGAUCACCGACCACAACUCUAUCAACAUUUUUGAUAAUCAAAUCAAACCUGCUACCAAAUCAACUAUUAAAAUUUGUAGAACGAACAAGCAGUGAGGUAGUCUGAGAUGUGUUAAUCGCACUGUCUUUAAGGAUUUUCCACGUAAUUAUACGCUAAUCCUCAGGAUUUAACAGACCAUUCUCGACAUGAAAUUAAGGAAUCAGAACUAACAAAAAUAUAUUUUCAGGAAGAUGAUAACCCAUAGUUGUGUUAUAAACUUAUAGAAGAAGCAUUUUUUAUAGGUAGUGCAUAAGUUUUCAUAUACAUGAAAAAUGGUGUUACUGGUAUUGAAAUUAAAAGGAACGUAUCCUCUAUAGAAAAGUAUCAUAUGCAAAGUAUAACUACCUUCUUAAUUUUGUUUCAGUUGCAAAAUAAAUUACAUGUGCCUAAUUUCAAAGGUGAGUAAAAAUGCUUAGACUUAAUUAAGUCAAAAUGAUGUGGUCAAAAGAAUUAGACCAAAUUAAAUAUUAUAAUAAUUUUUAUUAAAAUAUUUUUCUAUAUUUCUCAAUUGAAAAUGUGGGACACAAAAUAUUCAAAACUUUUGAAAUAUAUUCAAAAUUUACAAUAGUCUAUCCGAGAAGUGGUCGUGUUUGUCAAUCAAUUUAGACUCUUUGUAGUGUCUUUGCUUGUCGUUGUCAUGAUUCAAAUAUAACUCGAUACUGCAAAAUUCUAGAGUAAUGAGUAAUGAUACAUAGACACCCUUAGGUGACAAUACAUCCUUUGACACCCACACAAAAAUCUGACACGUAGUCACGUGGACCCCGCACAAGCACACUUUCUCUUUUCUCUCCUCUUCUCUCUUCCUAAUGCAUGGGGUGUACAAGGAUGUAUGGGAAUAAAGGGUGUCUAUGUAUCAUUACUCAAUUCUAUUAGCAAAAAAUCAAUGAAUGCUUUAAACUGAUUUAUAUAAUUGUCAAUUGCAAGAACAUAUUAAUAUAUAACAUCAAAACAAAACAAAAUAAGCACCAUUACCUUAUCCUCAUAUAAUCAUAUUCUCAAAACCUACAAGAGAAAGUUCAUUUGUGACAUUGAUUAAUGUAUAGACUCCAAUGUAAAAACCAAAAAAGGAAUGUUAUUUGAAUACUCUUUUAUAGGACAACCAAAAUAUAUAAAGCAACCUAGGUUUUGACACAAAAACCAAAAUAAUAAAUAGAGAAAAUGAAAACAUAAUACGAGUAUAAGAGAGAAAAUUAUCAUAAAAGUUAUUAUAAAAUGGUUGUUCAAAUAUCAUUUCUGAAAACUAAAAUACAUAAAAGAGAAAGCAUCACAUUGGUCAUAUUUUUUUAUAUUCCCUUUUGUAUUUGUUUGCCAAAAAAAAUUAGAUACAGCUAAAAAAUGUCAUAUAAUUUUAAAUGUCUAAUAAAUAUGUAUUUUGUUUAUUCAGCAUAACACAUCUACAAUUUUUCAUGCCACUUGCCACCAAAGACAAAAAAUGAAUGAAUUUGAAAUAAUAGAGGUUGAAUGAAGAAUUUCACAUUAAAGAGAAUGACAUCCAAAAACUAAAUUUCAAGAUAAAUAAUUAAACAAAUAACAUAAAAAAAAACUAUAAAAAAAAAAAGUUCAUCAUAAUGGUGUGACUUUCGGGAGAUUCUACAUUGAGUUUGAUCAUCACAUUAGACUAAGAGAAUCCAUACAAGUGAGUUUGACACCACAUUUUCACCCUAAACAAUAAGGUGCUGGGUAUAUGAGUCACAUCACUUAUAUGUUGCUCAACAUCUGCUCCUUUAUCCAGUGUGAAACUUUAAUUCACAUUUGACACAUUGAUAUUUCUCUACUAAGUAUCAGACUCUUCGCAACCGAGAUCUACCCACUCCUACUUCCCCUCAAUAUCGAUUUGGGCUAUGACGCCAUCAUUAUACCUUAUUGAUGAGCCAACAUUAUUGUGGAUCAACCCAUUGCACAGAGAACAACCACAUAAAUAAGAAUAAUACAACAUAUUUUUACCUAAUAUUUUAAAUAUGACAAAAUUCUAACCCGUACACGACACGAGUAUCCAUACUUGUAUACAUUUAUUACUGCUUGAACAAUGGAAAUGGAAAUAUGUAAGGAUACGUGAAACAAACUUUAUUGAUUUAGGAAUGGAAUUAAAUUCAAAACAAUUGAGGAAAAUGACUCAAAAAUUCAUAUUAAUCGGCCAGAGUAGCUAUAUUGUUACUCUAUAACAUUUCACACUUCUGCUUGACGAACCAACAAUAUUAUUAGGAUAGGUUGAAAAAACAUAGACAAUAGUCCUUUGAAUUAAUCAUGUCGCUUGGGGUCUCUCAAUCUUUUAAGUUCUUCAAUUAAAGCCAACAAAUUAUUAUAAGACGAGCCACCUUCUUGAAUAGCUUGUGUAGCCUUUUCUCCAAACUCUUGAGCAAGUAGCCUCAUAUUUUUAGCUUCAUCACCAUUCUCCAUCAAUCUCCUCACAGCCUUCUCUAUGUUAUCCCUGCUCACCAACUUCUCUCUCUCCGCAACACCAUUCUUACACCAUUCCGUUGCACCGACUUCCACUCCAAUUCCUCGAAAUUGUGUUACCAGUUUCUCGUUGUAGAAUUGAUCUCCAUGAACCGGCCACGUUAUCAUUGGAACUCCCGCACUAACAGACUCUACAAUUGAGUUCCCCCCGCAAUGCGUCAUAAAUCCCCCCACCGCAGGGUGGCUCAAUAUCUUAACUUGUGGGGCCCAACCCUUAAUGAUCAAACCCAUCCUCCUAAUGUUUCUCUCUUCGAAUCCCUUUGGCAACCACUUUUCUUUCUCUUCCUCACUCUCAUCUUCUUUCCCUUUCUUCUCAGGAACAACCCAUAUGAAUGGGUGACUAGAUGCUUCUAUUGCGCACGCCAUCUCAUAUAGUUGUUUAUCAGAGAAAUAGUUGAUGCUUCCAAAACAUAUGUACAACACCGAGUUAACUUUCUCUGAGUCGAGCCAACUCAUGCAUUCGUGCAUGUUCACAUCACCCUCCUUUCCCCUCUCUGCUUUCUCUUGAAUGGUUUUACGAAUAAGAGAAGUUGGACCGAGAUGCCAAACCUUGUGACCCGUGGUUUUCUCAUAGUGUUGGAUGCACUCUUCUCCGUCAAGUUCAGUGAAGUUGUUGAUGAUGAGUGCUUUACUUUUGAGCACUGUCCCAAGCAUCAUUUUUAGGAAUUUGCUAAUUACCUUUGGCGGUUUUCCGCACAAGGUUAUACGAUGAGGAAAAUUUGGAACAACAAAGGAACUUGAAUCCAAAUCAGAAUUAGUAUCAGAAUGAAGUAAGUUGUUUGCUUGGAGGGAUUCCACGAGAGAGACGGUAAAAAGUGACAAUCCAUUGAAUGUGAGGUUUGGGAUCUGAAGCUUAUGCGCCAAGUCAUUAGCCCAUGGGUAUGCGGAGUCGGAGAUGAUACAAUCUGGUGGAUCUUUCUCCAUGAAAUCCUCAAUGGAUCCAUGGAGGAGCAUUGCGCCACGGUGGAUCUUCCAAGAGGUCAUAGAGUCAGUGGUGGAAGACAUAGAUUCAAUGCCUUCAGGGAGGUCGACUUGUUGGGAGGGAAAGUCGACGGUGUGGAAGCGGAGGAAGAAGGAAGCCGCGGAUGAGAGAGAUUUGGUUAGGGAUUGAGCGUUGGAGGGAGUGGUGAUGAUUGUGACUUGUUGGCCACGGGAUGCAAACAUAGUUGCUAUGUCACAAAGAGGGAUCAUAUGUCCAGAUGCUAGAUAUGGAAUGAAGUGAAUUUUCAGUGGUCGUUCCACUUCAACACCUUCCAUUGUUGAUAAAUUUAUUCUAUUAUAUUCUAUUCACUAUUCACGUUUCUAUAUCUCCCCGUGUGUGAGUGCAUGAGUUCAAGUUCGACCAUACUUUCGUUUUUAUACGUAAAUAAUAUACUUAUUAUUCAUAUUAUUUUAUUCCAUCUGCACGAGAGCCACGAGGAGAGUAAGAGAACACAAGUUAUCAUCCAUAUGAAUAUUAUGAACCUCUUGUAAUAACACAUGUUUAAAUUCGUACGAUGAAUAUUUAUGAACAUUAUGUGACAAUACAAGUUUAAUUUCGUACGCUUUAGUUGGUGGCUAAAUCUCAAACCGAAGUUGUAGAGACAAACGUUCAACCAAAUGACCUUUUAAAGACAGACAGUUUAAAUUCGUACUCUAUAGACAAUUAAAUUGGAGGCCCUUCUGUCCUACUUGGGUGCGAGUAUGGUGACUUCAUCUUUUUCUCUCUUCUAUCAAUCAUUCCCUCUUUAUCAAAGUAAUUGAUUUUAAUCAUUUAUCAAUCAAUCAAUUAUUUUAUCUUUAUCACCAUGAUAUAUAUUGUUUAAUCUUCAUUGGAGAAUUUAUCAUUUUUGUCUCCAUGAUAUUGGUACAGAGUUUCCAUCGUCGCUUAACGAUGAUUAAUCUUUGUUGGAGAAUCUAUAGAAUACAUAAGGUGAGUUUUCCCUUCCAAUUUUUUUUCUUCAUACACAUAAAUCAAGAAUCGAACACCUAACCAUAUGUUUAAAGUGUUAAAGUUCCUUACCACUUGGACCAAUAUGUUAUUGAUUCAUUAUCUAUAACUAAAUAAACUAAAAUUAUUAAAGUCCCCAAAAGUUACCCAAAUUUAACGUCCACAUGUUUUUUAAACGAUAAAGCAAGUAUUUAAUUUUAUUUAAUCAAAUCCUUAAAUUUUUUAUUCAAUCUAAAUAUUUGACCUUACCAACAUUAUAUUGGUUUGGAUGAGUACAGGCAUCUGAUAGCAUGAGAGGAUUUUCAUUAGAGAUGAAAGGAUGCCAUGAAGUGAGAUGAUCGUUCCUCAAUCCAUGAGAAAUUGAGAUUUUUAGUUUAGAUUUUGUUGAAUUUGACAAAUGAGUUUAAAAAUAGUGGAUGUCGAUUCAAAACAACUUUGCAUAGAUAAUCAAUAAAAACAUUCAAAAUUGAGAUAAGAUAGUUACACAGAUAAUCAAUGAAAACACUUAAAAUUGAGAUAAGGUAGUGAUAUAGAUAAUCAAUGAAAACAACUUUACAUAGAUAAUCAAUGAAAACACUUAAAAUUGAAAUAUUUAACUUUUUUUAUAAAAUAAUUUAUUCUUUUGAAUCUUUAAAGAGUACUUCGGAGGCACUCACUGAUUUAAGUUUUUUUUAAUUGGUUGUAUUUGAAAAGUUAUUUUAAAUAGAGAAAUGAUAUUUUCUCUAUUGUUUUUUACCAUUAAGAAGAAGAAAAAAAAAUUGUCACAAAUUACUCAUCGUUUAUUACACACAUUUUCUUUUUGUCCUUAAAUAGCUCAAUUAGAGUUUUUGUUUUUGUUCCGCAUUUUAUAUAUUUUGUUGUCUUCGCUUAAUUAGUUGUUACUCCUUCCACUACAAAAUACAUGUUACAAUAUUGGAAUGUGUACUAUCUAUUUAUCUGACUCACUUUAAUCAUAUUUGUUAACUAAUAUAUAAAUACACAUUUUAACAUUUAAAUGUUGUUUGAUUUGUCUCCAUAAAUAUUUUAAAAUAUUAAUUUUAUUUUUUUAUUUUUUACUUUAGAUAAUUAAAUAUAUUAACAAUUAAAAUUGUACAUUAACAUAUAUGAAGUAGUUGAGUUCGACAUAUAUUUUAAAAAGGAUGUAAUAGUUUUUGGGAUUUUAGUUUUCUUAUAAUGGGGUCCUAUCCGUUUCCUUUAAAAAGAAAUUACAAAAUCAUAACUGCAUCCCUAUUCAAUUUUACAGUAUGAUAAUUAAAAAUAUUGUUGAACUAAAUUACGACAAUUGUGUAAAAAAAAAAAGCUAAAUUACGAAAGCAUAAUCAAAAUAGCUACAAAAUGAUAUAAAUUUUUUCUCUCCAAGUGAGAAGUAAACCUACAAAAACCUAAUAUCAUCAUUAGAAAUGCUUGUGUUUCCAUCUAGCUAUCUUCAUGAAUCGCUUUGAACGGUAAGAAGAAGAUUGAAGAGCUUCAUAGAGGCAAAAACGGAGCAUUCUUUCAAGGAUCAUGCAUGAGGCAGAUCAUCAGCUACAAAAAGUACAGAGACCCACCAGAAACUGGUUUGAAGUUGAGGUUUGCAUGGAAAUUUUGUUGUUGUUCAAUUUCUGAGAUCCAAAUGGUAUUUAGAUUCUUGGAAAAUUGGUUUGGCUAGCUAAAACAUGAGAAGUGAAUUUUGUGUUAAUUCAAUCUCAUUUAGUUGUAAGCUUAUAAGGAAGCAUUUUGGAGCAACUGUAUCUUGGUAAAAAAAUAAUUUAUCUUUCUUUUUUUCUAUUCAAAUAAUUUGUACUGCCUACUAAUUUGGUGAAUUGAUAUAAACCUUCUUGCCAAAAGGUAAUCUAUAAGCACUACAUCUACUAUAUAACAACAAUAACUAAGCCUUAUCCCACUAAAUGGGGUCGGCUACAUCGAUCAAAUGACGCCAUAAUGUUCUAUAAUAAACCAUAUUUGGGCCCAUCUCAUUAAUAUCUAAAAUUUUUUCAAUAAUUUCUCUCAUAGAUUUUCUAAGUUUUCCUCUACCUCUUUUGAUUUGACUCUCCUCCAUCUGAUCUACUAUCACAAUUAUCUUUAAUCAGAGGACUUGAAAUCAAGUAAUGUAUAAACCUUCUUUAAAUAGAUAUUUGAGAACAAAUUCAUGUUCAAGUGACCUCUUUUGUUAAAGAAAAUGAUACCAUUUCUCUUUGAAUGUUUGCAUUUUGUAGCAAUAAAGACAUGUCUAAAACGUGUUUGCAAAAAAUUAACUUUGUUUUUUAUUGAAUAUGUGUAAUACAAUUUAGAAAAUGAGUAUUUAUCGGUAAAAAUUAUUUCUACUAGUCAAACAACAUGGCCACAAUGUCCAACCUCUACUCGGCUAAUUUUAAAGGCAGUGUGUUAGUUUCCCUCAAUGAGGGGAUCAAGGCACCCCACGUUCGACUCUUAGCUUCCUCUUUCACGACAUGAUUUGUUGACAAGAUCCUUGGUGUGAAGCUUUCACACAUUUAGUGGCUUUAUAAAUAGAGAGUGUGGAUUUUCAGCAUCAUUGUUCCUGAUCUUUGACUUGGUAUGUGAUUCUCAAGAUCCAUGUAUGUUAUUAGACUUUGAGAAAGAAUCAACUUUCCUUCAGUAGAUUGUCCUAACCUUUGCCCAACCUUGCAUCUGUUGCGGGGUUUCCUUGCCUAAACCUAGCAAUUAUUUCUAGUUGUAAACAAAUAUUUUGGACCAAAAAUUUUAAUUUUAUAAAAUCUUUUCUUUGAUUACAAAUAUAAAAAUGUUUAAUUGAGAAAAUUAUCAAAUUUUCAAAAUAAUAAAGGGUUUGUUCAAAUUGACUUUGUAAUAUACAUGGAGUCUGAAAAGUAACUCUAUAAAAAAAACAAAGAUUCUACCCCACCACUUUGAGAUUCUUCUUAUUUUUUACCUCAUAAUUUUCCCUAUAGCCAUAAAGUCUAGAAAAGUGACCUAUAGAUUGAAUUUUUUCAUGAUUUUAUGCACACAUGUUUGUGACGUUAAAAUCUGACUUUUCAUAUAAAAUUAGAAAUUUUUGACUGAAAAAACAAAACAGAAAUUUUAACCUAAAAAUCCAAUUUUGAGUGAUAUUGUGCAGAAACUCCUAUAAAAUACAUAGAGAUUUUUUUGAAAGAAAUAAAAUACAUAGAGAUGAUUUGCAAAAAUGUGCAAACUUGCAAUUUUGAUUUUUCAACAAAAACAUACAGAAAUGCAAUUUUGUUCCGAAUAAAAAUAUUCACCAUUAAAAUACGAAUUAAUUAUGAAUUAUUUAAAAAAUUCAUAAUUACAUGAAACAAAAAUUAUCAAGAAGGGUUAUUAUCAACUUCUGCAAAUUCAUAAUCCUUCCCGAAAACCUAUCCAAUGAAAUAUAAGACAAUUUGAAGUUUAUAAAACUUAUCAUACUAUUAGUGUUUGUCAAUGUGGGACUGUCUUUAAAGCCCAUUUUUGGGCUUUUAAGAAGGUUUAGAAGAAGAAACAUAAAAUAGAAUAAUUCAGUAGCCCCUUUAGGAAGCAAGCAUUUAUCCACCACUUCAGCCGUUCUAAAUGCAUCACUGCACUCCAUCCCUUUUCUCAAUCUCUCAACCCUUGUCCAUUUUAAGUUUUGAUUUCCAAAUGCAUCAAUAUAUAUUGAACUACUAGAAGUUUUGGAGGGCUCAACUAGUUUGUUUCGGCAGUGUAAGUUAAUUAAUUCGGAUCCAAGCAUGCUUUUGAAGCUGCCAACCAAACAUAUCCAAACUGGCAAAUUUAUGUUUUAUCUACUUUUAUUUAUUCUUUCAUUUUUAAUCUCAUUGUUUGUGUUUUCAAAUAUAAAUAACAGAUAUGCGAUAACUACCGUGAAAUCAUACAGCUACAUACUUCAAUUUGCCUCAAAGGAAUAUAAAUGGUUAUGGGAUUCGGAGAAUAGUGUUUUCACUGUCAUCUCAUCUUAUGCUUUGAUCUCAAGAAUAUACUGACCUGAAGUCAAUAUGGGUAGUCUAGAGAUAUGGAUGUUUCAUCGUAUUUGGAAAAGGUAGGUGCCUUCAAAGGUUUUGAAUAACAUGAUUCAAAAUAGAUGUGCUCUAGCUCAUCGUGGAGUCAUUUUGCAGGAUAUGACCGAAGAUUGUAUUCGGUGUGUGAAUCAAUCAGAAACAACCUUCCAUUUAUUUCUACAUUGUGAUUUAGGGCCUACAAGGUCACAGGUCAGCUGAGUCUUUACCGACUUCUGUUGGUGUCCGGUUUGUAGCUGUCUGCUUGGCGCUUCAGCUGUGUUUUGUUGUCGUUUAGGUUGUGUUCGCGCCUCCUUCUGUUUUUCUCCUACCAUUUGUGUGUUUUGUGACGUCGUGUUUCUCUGUCUUUGUUUGUUAUAUCUUAUCAGCCGAUUGUUGUUUUAGGAGAUUUCUUUGCUGUCAUUAGAUGCAUUCAUUAAUUGGAAAAGAGAAUUACAUAAAUUCCUUGUCCAUUUGAAACAUAAAGUCAACUUUAUCCAAACACAUGAAGUCUAUGGUACAUUCUCUUCAUUCUUCCACUUUUAAGAUCAUUCUUUGUUGAAAUCUUGUAGAAUAUGGGUCCUUCUUUCUUUGUUAAUGAAAACAUGAGAAUUCAGUCCACAAUAUAAGAAUAAAGGUUAAAGAACUUCAUUUGUAAAAUAAUGUUCUGCAUAACUUAAACAUCAAACAAAUCAUGUGUAAUGAAACUUGUUAAUGUUCUGCAUAACUUAAACUUCAUUUAUUGUCUCUGGUGUAGGGCUCUUGAACAUAUUUUUGAAUGUUAUACUAUAAGAAAUAAAAGUACAAUGUGCAAAAACUAUCUCAGGCAAAAUAUGAGCAAAGUCGGUCUAAAUCCAAAGAAGAUAUUCCUCAUGCUUUAAAUUGAUAUCUUGAUGAUCUUAUUCAUCAAUACUAUCAAAUUAUUGGCUAUUAGGGCAGAAAUUAACAAACAAAAAAGAUGUCAAUAACAAAUGAUGCAUACCUUCUCCAAGAGUACGGAUCUAGGAUAACAAAUGAUGUUAAUUUUCAUAUUGAAAUAAAAACCUGUAAAACUUUCAAAGAAGAAAAACUCGAUAAAAAAAAUUAGAUAGAUCGAGUAAAAAUUGGUCGAGUCGAGAACAAAUUUUUCAAUGUGAACUAUGUAAUCCUACAACUCUUUGUGGACUACAUGAACAGCGAAAAUUGAUUGGCGUGAGUAAAUUGUUGAAAAAACCAGCAAGCAUUAAGAGCUAAAAAAUGAAAUAUGAAAAAACAAAAAACAAAUUAUGACGUCGAAAUGCAUCCAAUAUAUAAUCUAAUAAUAGCAUAAAACAAAUUGUAACACUUCAAAUUCAUGAAAGUCGGCGAUAUGACAACAUUACCACACCCCUGCAGUCCUAUCUGCAAUGAGCGAAGCAAAUUCCACCGACAUGUCCUGACCCACCACCGACAGACGCCUCAACGACGACACCAAUGGAUCAUCAACACGACAAGAGAUCCAUCGAAAAAAAUACAACAGUGUUGGUGCACAGAUUGUAGAUGAUUGAAAACCAGACAUGAAAGAAAUGCAUUCGAACCAAACUUGGUAUGUAUAGCGAAUGAAACAAAUUAGGGGCUAAUCUUCGGUCAAAAGAAAAAGAAACAGACAGGAUCCCACAAAAUCUAGAGAUUUAAAGUACAGGAACCAGCUUUACAGGAUUCUUCCAUUUCAUUCGACUGUAAACAACGGCAAUGUCAGACUGACAGAAGUGUUGACAUAAACACUCUCGCAGUUGAAAAAUUAAAAUAAAUGCAAAAACACAUUAAGAAGUUAGAAUAGCCACGUACACACCAAAAAUUGAAUCAAAACAAUUAAGGAAAACUAUUCGAAAAUUCAUGUUAAAUCUGCCAGAGUAGCUAAAUGUUACUUCAUUGAUUUGAGAGUACUUGUGGCAGGUAUUGUGGAAUCAAAAUCCAAAAAAGAGAAAACAAGUCACUUGAAUUCAUAGAAAAAAUCCAAAACAUUCACACUUCCGCUUGACGAAACCACGAUGUUAUUAGGAAAAGUUGAAAAAAUUUAGACAAUACUCAUUUGAAUUAAUCAUCCAGCUUGAGGUCUCUCAAUCUUUUAAGGUCUCUCGAUCUUUUAAGUUCGUCAAUCAAAGCCAACAAAUUAUUAUAAGACGAGCCACCUUCUUGAAUAGCUUGUAUAGCUUUUUCUCCAAACUCUCGAGCACGUAGCCUGAUAUUUUCAGCUUCAUCACCACCGUCCAUCAAUCUCCUUACAGCCUUCUCUAUGCUAUCUCUGCUCACUAACUUCUUUCUCUCCGCGACACCACUCGUACACCAUUCUGUUGCACCGACUUCAACUCCAAUUCCUCGGAAUUGUGUUAUCAGUUUCUCAUUGUAGAAUUGAUCUCCAUGAACCGGCCACGUUAUCAUUGGAACUCCCGCACUAACAGCCUCUACGGUUGAGUUCCCCCCGCAAUGCGUCAUAAAUCCCCCCACUGCAGGGUGGCUCAAUAUCUUAACCUGUGGGGCCCAACCCCUAAUGAUCAAACCCUUCUUCCCGAUAUUUCUCUCUUCAAAUCCCUUCGGUAACCACUUUUCUUUCUCUUCUUCGCUCUCAUCUUCUUUCCCUUUCUUCUCAGGAACAACCCAUAUGAAUGGGUGACCGGAUGCUUCUAUCGCACAUGCCAUCUCGUAUAGUUGUUUAUCAGAAAAAUAGUUGAUGCUUCCAAAACAUAUGUACAACACUGAGUUAACUCUCUCUGAAUCGAGCCAACUCAGGCUCUCGUGCACAUUCACAGCACCCUCAUUUCCCCUCUCUGAUUUCUCUUGAGCAGUUUUGCGAAUAAGAGAAGUUGGACCAAGAUGCCAAACCUUGUGACCCGUGGCUUUCUCGUAGUGUUGUAUGCACUCUUCUCCAUCAAGUUCACUGAAGUUGUUGAUGAUUAGUGCUUUACUUUUAAGCACCGUCUCAAGCAUCAUUCCCAUGAAUAUACCGAUUACCUUUGGCGGUUUUCCACACAAGGUGAUAUGGUGAGGAAAAUUUGGAACAACAAAGGAACUUGAAUCCGAAUCAGAAUCUGUCUGAGACUUAAGUAAAUUGUUUGUUUUGAGGGUUUCCACGAGGGAGACAGCAAAAAGGCACAAUCCAUUGAAUGUGAUGUUUGGGAUCUGAAACUUAUCGGCCAAGUCAUUAACCCAUGGGUACGUGGAGUCGGAGAUGAUACAAUCCGGUGGAUCAUUCUCAAUGAAAUCCCCAAUAGGUUCUUUAAGGAGCAUCGCGCCAGUAUGGAUCUUCCAAGUGGUGGUGGGGUCCGUAGUUGAAGACAUAGAUUCAAUACCUUCAGGGAGGCCGACUUGUUGGGAGGGGAAGUCAACGGUGUGAAGACGAAGGAAUGAAGGAGCGUCGGAUGAGAGAGAUUUGGUAAGGGAUUUUGCGUUGGCGGGAGUGGUGAUGACUGUUACUUGCUGGCCACGGGAUGCAAACAUAGUUGCUAUGUCAAAAAGAGGGAUCAUAUGUCCAGAUGCAAGAAAUGGAAUGAAGUAAACUUUCAAUGGUUGUUCAACUUCAACACCUUCCAUUGCUUAUGGAUCAAAUUAUUCUCUCUAUUCUAUUCUAUUCUAUUCACGUUUCUAUGUUUGUGUUUGUCACUGUGAGUGCAUCUCUAUAUAUUCAAUUUCAACCAUACUUUGGUUUAACAUAAAUAAUUUACUUCUUUAAUAUUAUAUGUUGUUUUUGUUAUUAGUUUAUCUAUGAUCUAUGUGCUCGUGUCCCACGAGGAGAGGAAUCUUUUCCGCGAGAUUUCCAUCUUAGUUUUGAAUGCCGACUAUUAAUACUAAAUUAAAGAUUGUAACUUCAUCCUUCAAAAGAAAAAAUUGUAUCAGAUACAAUUUGUUGUGCAUUCCCAAAUGACAACUACAUGCUACACUCGAAAAUUUAAAUGUAUCAGAUACAUAUGAUUUUAUAUUAAUAAUUAAAUGAGUUUUUUAUUUUGAAAAAGAAAUAUUUUUUAUCUAUACUAUAUAUAAAGAGAACUAUCCCUUUCAGUAUUUUUUGGUUAUAUUUUUCUUUCCAAAAUUUUUUAAUACAAAUAAUACAUGUAACAAUUAGAUAAGAAUAAAUUUGAAUAUUAAAACAAAUGUAACAAACACGAUAUGAAUAUACUUACUUUUUCAUCAUUCCAAUUAUAUCCUUAAACAACUUUUUCUAUAAUAAAAUUGUUGUUGCUGUCAUUAAAAAGGAAUUUAGAUUAUAUUUUUUGUUAUAUUGUAUUAUUGUGGGUGUUGUUGAAAUAGAUAAUCAUAGUUAGUUGAUUUUUAUAAGUUGAAAGAAACAAACAUUUAUAUAUUUUUUAGUUUUAAUCAAAAUCAAAAUUUCAUAAAAAAAACAUCAUUCAUAAUUUUCAAACAUUAGCGCAAUAAAAAGAGCGGAAAGACGGGCACGUGAGUACCCGUCUUUUCGCUAGUCUUUAUAACUUUAAUAACUAAAUCUUAUUUACAAAACGUGUUGGCGAAAUAAAAUUGAUUUUUUUUCUUUUUUUUGUAACUCAUAAUAGAGAAUAUUGAUCAUAUAUUACGAUAAAAUGUAAAAUAUUUAGUAUAGUUCUUAUAAACAAUGAAAUAAUAUUUUUUUUCUUCGUAUGGAAUGAUAUUUUCUAAAGUAUAAAGUCGACAAAUAGCUCUUUAUUUAAUAAAAAUUAUCAUUAAUUUAUUGAUUUAAGGAUUAAGUGUAUCUCUUCUUCAGUUCAACCAUACCUCUCAUCUAGGUAAGUGCCUUGAAUUUCCUAUGUUGUCUAGUAGAGUUCAGAAUUCUGAGUUCAAUUUUAUCCUAGACAAGAUCGAUGGCAGGUUGGAAAAUGAAUUUACUAAGUUGAUCAGGACGGGUUACCUUGGUCAAAAGUGUUGUGACUGCUAUGCCUAUUUAUUCCAUGAAGAACCUUUGACUUCCAUAUGGUAUUUGUGAAAAUAUAUAUGCUAUUAUUCGCUCCUUUAUAUGAUGAAGGAAUUAUUGUCGUUGGGUGAAUUGGAAGAGCCUGACUAUGCCAAAAUCUCAUGGGGUUUAGGCAUUCAUACAACCGGGAACUCGAACAUUUCUCUUCUCGGCAAACACGUAUGGGAUAUUUUACCCCAACCACGAAAGCUCUGGGUUCAGAUGUCGAGACACAGAUACUUGUCUGACACUCAUAUUCUGCAUACUCAUUUUAAGCCCGGUGAUUCUUGCAUUUGGCGUGUUGUUGUGAAAGCAGUGGAAAUCUUGGGGACAUUCUUCAUUUGCACGGCUGGAAGAGGUCAGGUAUCCAUACGGUAUGAUAAAUGGUUAGAUAAUGUUUAUCUUUGUAAUGUUAUGUCAUAUGUUCAUAUUAGAGAUACAAACUUUCGUCUUUAUGACUUGUUGGAAAUUGGGGAUUGGAACUUCAACAAAAUCUAAACUCAGCUUCCAUCUUUUUACCAAGAUUGCAUUUGUAGCAUUACCAUUGAUCAUGACAAUGAGGAUAGACUUAUUUGGAUUGCUUAUCCAAAUGGUCAGUUCUCAGGUAGUUAUGGAUAUAGGUAGUUAAAUCAGAAUCUAACUUAACAAUUAGAACCUGUUAUUUGUUGGAGUUGGAUUCAGAGGCUAUCGGUUUCUAAAAAUCUAAGACAUUUUAGCUGGCUUGGGAUGCAUGCUAGUCUCCCUACGAAUGCCUUCUUUGGUUCAAGACAUCUUACCUCUGGUACUUCUUGUCAUAAAUGUGGUGCAUAUGUUGAAAGUGGUAUGCAUACUCUUCGUGAUUGUCCUAGGCAAAGAAUAGGCACAUUUGUCCUACUUAUCCUAACAACUUCUAAAUACAAGAUUGUCAGAUUUUGUUCAAACAUCAUGUUGUUAGGGGGACGGGUACUAUGUUCAUAGUAGCCUGCUAUGGAAUUUGGAGGAAUAAAAUGAAGAGAUUUUUCAAAAUAUUACGAAAGCUACAUGGGCAUCGUUAAUAACAUAAUAUCAUAUCAUUCUUCCAUGGUUCUUGCUCUCGCCCCCAUAAAUAAACACCAUGUGACUGGUUAAGUUCGUUGGAAUCCUCCACCGAAAGGCUUUAUUAAAAUCACUAUGGACGGAUCUUCUUUUGGUAAUCCUGGUAAUGCAGGUUUUUGAGGUCUUCUGAAAAAUAAUAGGGCGAAUUGGAUUCAUGGUUUUUCUGGAUCUUGUGGUAGAGAUACUAAUUUUUUGGUUGAUCUUUCAUUUACUUGGAAGGGUCUUCAGUUGGCGUGGGAUCUUGGUUAUAGGUAUAUCAUCAUGGAGUCUGACUCUCAUGCUCCUUUGGAUCUUAUUUUUGAUACUAAAUAAAAUGAUUUUCAUCCCCAUGCAAUUUUGCUUUUUGUCUUUAGCAAGCUUUCUUCUCUUCCGUGGGUGGUCUCAUUUACUCAUAAUUUAAGAGAAGGUAACAAAUGUGCUGACUGGUUGGCUAAAUUUGGUACAACUAAUACCAACUCCUUGAAGAUGUGGACUUCUCCUCCUCCUCAAUUAAUAUCGGCCACCUUGCGGAUACCUGAGGUAUUUAGGUAACAUAUUGACUAGUUUGCUUUUCCCGUCUUUUAAUUUCCUCUUGAUCAAAAAAAUAAAAAUAAGUAUAUCAGUAUACUUCAAUUUGUGAUUGUACUGUAGAAUCUCCCCCGACUAUUUGUGGAUGCAAGUGGAUCAGAAUUCUAGAACUCGCAUGUAUUGAUCGUUUACAUAUGUUGAUUUUUUUUGUCUUAAAUGCACCUUUGGUUCUCUAUUUUAGAGAUGACAAAAUGGGUAGACCCGUUUAGUGCAUCUUUUUAAACAGUGUGGAUUGAAAUUUUGAACAUGUCGUUACUAGAUGAUCUGCCUUGCCUAACCCGCUAAAAUAACGGGCCAUAGACGUGACAAACAAGUUGACCUGUCGAGUUAAAAUAAAUUAAUUUUUUUUUAUGUAUAAGUCACAAUUUGUUUUACAAUUUUCUUCUCCAUAAAGUAGAGAAUCAUUCAAUUUAAUUACUUGAUUUAAUAAUUUGAGACUUAUGCUUCUAAUAGUUUGUUACUUGGUGAACUUCUGAACUUUUUAUUUUAAUUAUCAUCUUGGCUUAUUAUAGAUUUUUAGAAGAUGAAACAUGGAUAUUUGAAUGAUAAAUUCUACAUUUUUAAUGAACAUAUUAGUUACUUAUUUCGAUCUCUUUAAAUUAGCCUUAUAUUUAUUUAUUUUUACACUUUUUACAUUGUUUUUUGAAGUUUUUAAUUAAUACUUUUUCCAUUUAAAAAAAAAUAACAACAGGUCAAUCCGCCACAAAAUAGGGUUUGGACGAGAUUUUCAACCAUAUAUCUCUAGUUUGUCUGCCCGCUCCGCUCCAUUUUAAACGAGUUAGUAACGAGCCCGGGACAUAUUGACCUAUUUUGUCAUCCCUGAUCUAUUCUCAAAUUUUUUGAAGUUUAAGUCUUCUUUUUUAAAAAUUUGGCUGAGAACAAUUUAUUAAUAUGAAAUAUGCAAUCCUACACCUCCUUAUGGAUUACACGAACAGAGAAAAUUGAGUGGCGUGAGUAAAUUGUUCAAAAAACCAGCAAGCUUUAAGAGCUAAAAAAUUAAAUAUGAAAAAACAAAAACAAAUGACAUUAAGGAAGGUUUGAUAUGUACCUUUGUCCCAAAUUGUAAGCAAAAAUUGAUCAACAAAAAAUUAAUAUCUUUAGUUCAAAAUUUGUGCUAAAUGCAUCAAUUUAUGUUGACACAUUUUUCUUAUAUUUUGAGACGGAGGAAGUAUGCAAUAUAUAUAAUCUAAUAAUAACAUAGAACAAAUCGUAAGACUUCAAAUUCAUGAAAGUCAGCAAUGAAUGAAGUAAGAGAAAUGAUAUUUGUACAAUUUUUUUUGACAACUUUUUCUCUCAUACUCACAUUAUAUUUUUGAGGAGUGAUAUUUGUACAACCAAUUUUAUACAAUUUUUGUGACAACCACUUUUUCUCUCUUCUUAUUGGACAAAAUCAAUAGAGAGAGAAAGAAAAUGAGAGAGAAUAAAAACACAUGUGAGUAUGAGAGAGAGAAUUGUUUCAAAAGUUGUCAAAAAGUGAUUGUACAGAUAUCAUUUCUCUAUAUUUUUACUCUAUCCUUUUUUUUUUCUCUCUCCAUUGUUUUUGACUGAUAAGAAGAGAGAGAAAUGAGAUAAUCAUAAAAGUUGUUAACAAAUGAUUGUUCAAAUAUCAUUGCUCAUUAAGUAAAUUCCACCGAUUGUAAAAACACUUUGGCAGUUUGAAAAAUUGAAAAUAAAUGCGAAAACACAUUAAGAAGUUAGAAGAACCACGUACACAACAAAAUUGAAACAAAUAGUGGAAAUUUUUGUUCUUCCUUGUCAAGAUUAUUGAUUAAUUACAAUUACAGGAAACUAUUCAAAAAUUCAUAUUAAAUCUGCCAUGGUAGCUAUAUUGUUGCUUCAUUGAUUUGAGAGUACUUGUCGCAGAUAUUGUAGAAUCAAAAUCCAAAAAACAUAAAAGGAAUCGCUUGAAUUCAUGUGCAAAAUUCAUAUAACACACAUACUUCUGCUUGACGAAACAACAAUGUUAUUAGAAAAAGUUGAAAAAACUUACACAAUGCUCCUUUGAAUUAAUCAUGCGGCUUGAGGUUUCUCAAUCUUUUAAGUUCAUCAAUCAAAGCCAACAAAUUAUUAUAAGAUGAGCCACCUUUUUGAAUAGCUUGUGUAGCCUUUUCUCCAAACUCUCGAGCACGUACCCUGAUAUUUUUAGCUUCAUCACCACCGCCCAUCAAUCUCCUCACAGCCUUCUCUAUGCUAUCUUUGCUCACCAACUUCUCUCUCUCCGCAACACCACUUGUACACCAUUCUGUUGCACCGACUUCAAUUCCAAUUCCUCGAACUUGUGUUAUUAGUUUCUCGUUGUAGAAUUGAUCUCCAUGGACUGGCCACGUUAUCAUUGGAACUCCCAUGCUAACAGCCUCUACGAUUGAGUUCCCCCCGCAAUGCGUCAUAAAUCCCCCCACUGCAGGGUGACUCAAUAUCUUAACUUGUGGGGCCCAACCCCUAAUGAUCAAACCCUUUUUCUCGAUGUUUUUCUCUUCAAAUCCCUUCGGCAACCACUUUUGUUUCUCCUCUUCGCUCUCAUCUUCUUUCCCUUUCUUCUCCGGAACAACCCAUAUGAACGGUUGACCUGCUGCUUCUAGUGAGCAUGCCAUCUCAUAUAGUUGUUUAUUAGAUGAAUAAUUGAUGCUUCCAAAACAUAUGUACAAUACUGAGUUAACUCUCUUUGAGUCAAGCCAGCUCAGGCACUCGUGUACAUUCACAAAAACCUCGUUUCCCCUCUCUGAUUUUUCUUGAACGGUUCUGCAAAUAAGAGAAGUUGGACCAAUAUGCCAAACCUUGUGACCUGUUGUUUUUUCGUAGUGUUGGAUGCACUCUUCUCCAUCAAAUUCACUGAAGUUGUUGAUGAUAAGUGCUUUACUUUUAAAUAUUGUCUCAAGCAUUGUUUCUAGGAAUGGGAUGAUUAACUUUGGCGGUUUUUCACAUAAGGUGAUAUGAUGAGGAAAAUUUGGAACAACAAAGGUACUUGAAUCCGAAUCAAAAUUUGUAUCAGAAUGAAGUAAAUUGUUUGUUUUGAGGGUCUCCAUUAGGGAGACGGCAAAAAGGCACAUUCCGUUAAAUGUGAUGUUAGGAAUCUGAAACUUAUGGGCCAAGUCAUUAACCCAUGGGUAUGCAGCGUCGGAGAUGAUACAAUCUGGGGGAUCAUUUGUUAGAAUAUUUUAUUAUUUAAUAAUAUUCCAAUAUCAUUAUGUGGGCAAAUAUCGUAAUAAUAAUUAUAUUAGCUAUUUAUCAAUUGUGAGCCUUAAUUGAUUAGUGAUCAAAUUAAGUAAUAAGGCUAAUUAGAUUUCUAUUUUGGAUAAUUAAUUAUUUAAUUAGUUGAUAUGGACUCAACAUGAGUGGAUGUCCGGAUGGCCCAUUAACGGAAUAAUGGGAAACCCUAAUGGCCAUCCAAUAUAAAAGAGGCUAUGGUCCCCAAUACACCGUACACGGCAAUACUCUCUCUUCUCCCCAUCUGAAGAGAACUUGAGGCAUAAAGGUACCGGUUGAGGAAGAACCAAAUCAGCCACCGCUAACUCUAUUGUGUGUUUCAGAUCAUCUCCUCUCUUUGGUUAUAGUUGUUGAUGAGAGGGCUGCCUUGAAAGCUUUAUCCAGGUAUUCCUAAUACCCUAAUUCUUAAUACCCUUGAUAAAUCAAACAUGUCGUAGAUCCGAUCAUAAUCAGGUUCAAUGUUUUGUUUGCUUCCGCUAUUGAUUCACAAUUGUUGAACAUGUAUUAUGAAAUCUAUUUAUAUUAAGACCUAUAUUUCCAACAAGUGGUAUCAGAGCGGUCUUCAUGUUUGAUUUAUUAGGAUUAUUUUGUUUAAAAUCACAAAUUUUUCUUUGUUCUUCCAUCGCUUGAACCCUAAAUUUGGUUAAUUGGGGAUUUUUUUAUGUUUGCCUCGUUUCGGCAUGAAAACGUGAAAUAAUUUUUUUUUUUUAUUUGUUUUGAGAAUAACCGUAACAAGCAAACCAUGUCUUAUGUGUAUAGUUGCUUACUAAAGGACAACAAUUUUUUGUGGAUGAUUACUUUUACUUUAAUCAAUUUUUUUUUUAUGCGUGUUCCAAUCGGUUCUUGUUUGACCUUUAUUUCAAUUGAAUCGGUUUAAUCAAUUGAUUUCUUCUGGAUCCUCCUUGUUGCACGCUGGUGAUUCAUUAGGCAUGAAUUUUAUGAAAACAAAUAAUUUGAUUAAAUCUUGUGUCCAUGAAUAUAGAUAAUUUGGUUUGGCUUCUUUUCAAGAUAUCAAUAUUGCAUCCUUUGGGUUGUAUUUUUGUCCUUUUAGGAAUAUUCUUUUACUGUGAAUAUUUGGAUUUUGGAAGAAAUAUUCUUUCAGUAUGAAUAUUUAAAUUCAAGUGUAUGUAAUUUUGUGAGCUAUAUUUUUUCUUUUUGGAUAUGAAUUUGGUUUGCUGCAGCUUUCGAAAGCAAGAUACAUUGAUGAAAUUGAAUUCACAUACUUGAAAUUUUAGAAGUAAGUAUUUUGCAUAUUUCAAAUUUGUGAAAUCAAUUGUGUCUGCUCUUGACUUUAUUUGCAUUUGAUGAUUUGAUUCUAUAUUAAAUCUUUUGGUCAAAAUAAUUUUCCAAUAUUUUUUUUUUAUCAUAUCUUCCAGUUUAAUUUCUAUUUGAAAUUAGUAUUUAUUCACAAAGAUUUUGUACAUGGAGAUUAUUUUGAGAAAUAAGGCAAAUUAAAUUUUGUUAUAUAUAUUUGGUUGUUGUAUAUAUUUGUGGAAUAUGUAAGGAAUCUCAAAAUAUUAUGAAGAAACUUUUAGUACAUGAAGUAAAAAUUUUGAUUCUUUAAAGUUUGAGAAAUAAUAAUUUUAGUAUUGUUUGUUUAUUUAUAAACAUAAAGUAUAUUUCUUUAUUUAGGAAAUAAUUGAGUCUAGAGUUAUUCAUUAUUUUAUUUAAAGAAUCAUUUGGUAUAUGUGAAUCAAUUGUCGCAUGAAUAUUUUUUUUUUGUAUAUAUAAGAUUCAAUUUUUUUUUAUUUGAAAUUGAAUAUUUGGUUAUAGCAUGAUUAUCAUAUUAGAGUUUAUUGUUAUUAAGUUUUCUACAAUAAUAUUUUGUCUUAUCAUGCAUUUUGAAUAUAUUUCAUGCUAUGUUUGUUGCUGCUUUUAUGCGAUAUAUUUAAAUUCAUGAGUUUGUCUUCACACUUAAAGUAUUGUCAUACACACAUUGGUGUGAUUUGUGACUUUCAUCUUCUUUCAAAUUCGUGAAUUUGUCUUCACACUUAAGGGUUGUCAAGUGACCUUAUGGUUACUUAGCAACAUAAUGGACUAAUUCAGCCUACAUUAUGUCAGUAGUGCUUUGUAAAUUUAAGAUCAUUCCCAUUUAAUUUGUUGUGAAAUGUCUAGUAAUUGCGGUUGUUUUGGUUGAAGCAACAUGUUGCCAAAGUAACCUCUGUUGCGUAGAUUUGAUUCAACUGAACUUGCAAAAGACGUAGUAUGAAAUUAUCCAUGUGAGUUGUCGUCGGCCCCAAGGAAGGCACAACUUGACCGGAUAAUUACAUACAUAUGAUAGUAAAUGUAUGGUGAUUAUAUAGUAAUUAUCCAUGUGAAUAAUAGGAUACCUGAAUGUGACUAUUAUUUGACAGGAUUUAUCACCUCAUUUAAUAUAUAUUAAGAUUAUCUAGUAACUGCAGUUGAGUCGGUUGAAACAAUAAUGUUGCCCAAGUAACCUCUGUUGCGUAGAUUCGAUUCAACUGAAGUUACAAAAGAUGUAGUGUGUAAUUAUUUAUGCGAGUUGUCGUCGGCCCCAAGGAAGGCACAACUUGGCCGGAUAGUUACAUACCUGUGAUGGUAAAUAUGUGGUGAUUAUAACGUAAUUAUCCAUGUGGAUAAUAGGAUGUCCAAAGGUGACUAUUAUUUGACAGGACUUAUCACCAAUGUUUGAUCAUUACAUUGAGAGUACCGCUUGCAAUUAAUUCUUAGCAAUCCAAAGAUUGUGUUUUAAUGGUGCGCUUGGUAUCUUGUUAAGGUCUUUUAUUUACAAAUAAAGAAGCAUGUUUCUUUAAUAUUUUACUGACAUGUAUGUUGAUGUUGUGUUAGUGUAAACUUAUUUAAUUAUUUAAGAGUUUACAUCCACACCUAUGAUGGAAAACAAUUGACAAUUAUAAGAAUUUAUUCUUUGUCAAAGUAAAUUGUCAUUGUUUGAUCAUUGUUAUAAAAUACCACUAGCAAUUGAUAUUAUUUUUUAAAGACUUGAUAUUGAUGAUGCAUUAGGUAUUUUGGUGAGUGCUUUUGCUACUCUUGUUCUCUUUAAACUAAUAUAGUUUAUGUAUCUGCUAAUCUGAGUUGAAUUUUUAAACUCUUAAAAGUUCUAACUUUUAGGAAUUGAAGUAUAAUAUUAACAUUAUUCUUGGAUCUAGACCUUAGAUAAGGGUGGUGAAACUCACAUUCUCUCACAUAUUCAGCAUCUAAUUUGAGAAUCAAGUUUGACAAGUGAGUAUACACCAAAUCUCAUAGGUCAUAUGUGAUCAUAAAGUUAAAAUCUCAUAUGCAUUAGAGGUAUUGUUUAAGAUGACAAUUUUUGUCAUAUUUUCUUUGGUUAAACUAAGGUGCUUUUAAAGCAAUAUAGAGAAAGACAAACUCUCAUUGGAGAGAGUGUAUUUCAUUAAGAUUAUUUGGCAAAGAAAAUGUAAGAAGCACAUCAUGUAAAUAUUUAAUCUUGCUAAGACACUAUAAUUUCGACUAUCUAUGACUGGUUCGAAAAUUCAGUAAUUUCGACAAUCAUAUGACUUGUUCGAGAAUUCAGUAUUUUGUAUUAUCUUUGCACAGUUAAGUUUAUAACUGUUACAGUUAGAAAUGAUCGUUUAAAUGAUCAAUUCAUAAAGUGUGCAAAUAAGGAAAGGCUGAAGCAAGAGAAAAUAAAAUGGUGCUCAUUUGGAAAAUACCUCAUAAAAGAUAAGGGCAAAAGAAUGGUAGUCUUGACUGACUUAUGUCCAAUGAUGUUGAAAGAUACAUCAAUUAAGAAUGGACAAAGUCGAUAAAGAUUGCUUUAUUCAUUUUUUAAACCAAUUUUAGAUUGUCGUUACUAGUUUAUUUUUGUAUUUAAAAGACAUUUGGUGAAUCAUUAUUUGAAUGAAUUUUUGUUUUAAUUUCUCUUUGAAUAAAUCAAGAUGUUUUGAGUUUCAUUUGCAAAUAAUGAUUCAAUAUGUCUUUUAAAUUCAAUUAUAAGAGUCAAUUCAGUUAUGACUUGUGACAUUCUAUAUUGUUUAAGGUUUUGAAUACUAUAAGUUUUUCGUCCCACAAAUUAAGAAAUUUUUUUUUUUUGAGACAUAAAUUGUUAAGCUUUCUUGAGGAUAUUGAGUUUGGGGGAGAGAUAUGGUUUUUUAGAACAAAAUUGAAUGAGGAAGAAUUAGUUCUAAACUAAUUCAUAUAGUUACUAUUAGUAUAGUAUAUUUGGAUCCUCGUGAGGACAUUAUUGUUCUUUCUCUCAAUCAAGUUAAGAAAUUAAUUCAUAUAGAUCAAACUCAACACCCUCAAGAAAUAUGGCUUCUAGUGUCAUUAAGAAUUGACUGAAAAGAGAAGUUCUAUUUAGUUUAAUUGAAAGACUCUAUUAGGAAAGUCAUGAUACUAGUUUGCUGAUUAUAAUUUUGGAGCUGCAUAAGAUGGAUUAUAAUAUAGUGUUUCUUAAUGGUGACAUUAACGAUACAAUAUGGUGCAUGUGAAUAAAACUUUUGUGUCAAUUGAUACAAAGUAAAUGGUUUGCAAAGUCAUGAAAUCCACUUAUAAGUUAAGAAAUUUGUCUCUUUAGUGUUACCCAAAAAUUCUCAUAAAGUAAUUGUCUUAUUUGGUUUUGAGAUAAUAUUAUGGAGAAUUGUGGACUUAGCAAGUUCAGUGGGAGUAAUUUUAUAUUUCUAGUUUAAUAUGUCAAUUUUAUUUUAUUCAGUCAACGAUGAUAUAUGUUUGUUAUGUGAAACUAAGGAAAUCUCUAACAAAAGUUAGUGAUGUAAGAUCCUAGGGACACCUCUUUUGUAUUAGGCAUUUCAAUACUUAGAGAUUCUUCUCAAGGUAUUAUUCGGAUAUCACAAAAGAGUUAUAUCAAUAAAGUUGAAAAUGAAAUGACGUAAUUUUUGGAUGACCUCAAUCACCGAGAGAGACUUUUCAGUCUCAAAUAUUGCCCAUUAGAAAAUUUAUGAAUUCAUAAAUUUAAGUAUUUUCCUACACUUUGUCUAUAGGAUUUUUAUGUAUAAUAUUAUUAUACGCAUUUUGAAAUGGUGUAUAUAAUAAAAUUGUUUGGCAGAUAUUUUAGCAAUUCAAAGUUUGAAUUGUUUAAAAAGCAACCAUAAGGAUUAUUAAAGAGAACAAGAGAGCUUAUGCUCACAUCAGAAAUCUGACAAUUUGGAGAUCAUUUAUGUGUCAGACUUUGGCUUUUGGAUGUAAGUAGAUAAUACACAUCCUAACUCAAGAAAUGACUGUAAGUAUUUAUGUCACUUGGUUGCAUAUUGUUAAAGGUAUUGAAAGACCGAUCAAGUUAUAUAGUGACAUAAUUCAGUCGUAUAGUUGUUUAACAACAAAUUUCUAAAAAUUCAUUACCUUAUAGAUUAUUGUUGUUAAAUGAUAGAACAUGCAGAGACAAACUUUAUGCUAACUGAUCCACUAAUCAAAGACAUGACACAUAAGGUCUUUCAUAUGGUUGUUGUCAUUAAGGAUGUCUUGGAUUAGUGGGAGUCUCUUAGUUUAUGUUCUAUACUUUUAAUUUUUGGAAUUGAUACAGACUUUAUGUUAUGAUUUUCUGCAGAAAUAAAGUUCAUGAGGUUAUUUUUUGUUAUAACCAUUUCUGUAUCAUUUUGUGCAAAUAUUGAAUUUGCAUACUUCAGUUCGAUCUCACUAAAGUUUUAAGUUGGAUCAGUUGGAAAUAGACAUGAUUUAGAGAUCACAUUGCAUGAAAUUUCCAUGCCACUCAUCCAUAUCGAUCUAUGUCAUCAAGUGCAUUGAUAUGGUGGUCGUCGGGGUUCCGUCACGUUAUAUGUCAGUGACGACAGCCGCGGUGGUCCCAUUAUUAAUGUACGAGGUGGACUAGAUUGUAAAAGUUGAAAUCUAAAGAUAAAUAGCAUUCAGACGCGCGCCUAAAGAAUUAUGAUAUAAUUAUUAAGAUAUGUAGCCCAAGUAGGAGAUUGUUAGAAUAUUUUAUUAUUUAAUAAUAUUCCAAUAUCAUUAUGUGGGCAAAUAUCGUAAUAAUAAUUAUAUUAGCUAUUUAUCAAUUGUGAGCCUUAAUUGAUUAGUGAUCAAAUUAAGUAAUAAGGCUAAUUAGAUUUCUAUUUUGGAUAAUUAAUUAUUUAAUUAGUUGAUAUGGACUCAACAUGAGUGGAUGUCCGGAUGGCCCAUUAACGGAAUAAUGGGAAACCCUAAUGGCCAUCCAAUAUAAAAGAGGCUAUGGUCCCCAAUACACCGUACACGGCAAUACUCUCUCUUCUCCCCAUCUGAAGAGAACUUGAGGCAUAAAGGUACCGGUUGAGGAAGAACCAAAUCAGCCACCGCUAACUCUAUUGUGUGUUUCAGAUCAUCUCCUCUCUUUGGUUAUAGUUGUUGAUGAGAGGGCUGCCUUGAAAGCUUUAUCCAGGUAUUCCUAAUACCCUAAUUCUUAAUACCCUUGAUAAAUCAAACAUGUCGUAGAUCCGAUCAUAAUCAGGUUCAAUGUUUUGUUUGCUUCCGCUAUUGAUUCACAAUUGUUGAACAUGUAUUAUGAAAUCUAUUUAUAUUAAGACCUAUAUUUCCAACAUCAUUUUCCAUGAAAUCCUCAAUGGGUCCAUGGAGGAGCAUUGCGCCAUGAUGGAUCUUCCAAGAUGUGGUGGAGUCGGUGGUGGAAGACAUAGAUUCAAUGCCAUCAGGAAGGCCAACUUGUUGGGAGGGGAAUUCGAUGGUGUGAAAGCGAAGGAGGGAGGGAGCGGCGGAUGAGAGAGAUUUGGUAAGGGAUUGGACGUUGGAGGGAGUGGUGAUGACUGUGACGUGUUGGCCACGGGAUGCAAACAUAAUUGCUAUGUCAAAAAGAGGGAUCAUAUGUCCAGAUGCUAGAUAUGGAAUGAAGUGCAGUUUCAGUGGUUGUUCAACUUCUACACCUUCCAUUGCUGAACAAUAUAUUCUCUCUUUUCAAUUAACUAUUCACGUUUCUAUCCCUCCCUGAGUGUGUGAGUGCAUCUCUUUUCAAGUUCAACCAUAGUUUCGUUUUAUAGAAAUAUUUUACUUAUUACUUUUUUUUUAUUAUUGUUAUUAUUUUAUUCUAUCUGCACGAGACCCACGAGGCUUAGCUCCAGUUAUCAUCCCAUAUGAACAUUAUCUGCACCAUUAAUUUUGAAUGAGACGUGUGUUUAAGAGUGCUCUGUGGACCAUUAAAUUGAAGACCAUGUUUGGUAGAACAAAAAAAAAAAAACAAUAUUUUUUGAAGGAAAAAUAAUUAUUAUUACUGGCGGAAAAACGGACACUCCUCUUUCUAUUCAUUUUAUUGCACUAACGUAUGUAGACUAUCAACAAUAUUUUAUAAAAGAAUUAUAUAAAUUAAAAUUAUAAGUACAAAUAUAUGUGAUUUGACGGUGAUGCUAAAUGGUGUGAAAUCUUUUGGCACAAAUCACACCAAGCAUUUACGCACAACACGGUUACUUACAAAUCUAGAAUUUUUUUUUUUUUUUAUUCUGAUCAAAGUAUUAUAAUAAAUAUUAUUAUACCUAGCGAAAAGACGGGUAUUAAUGUGUUCGUCUUUCCGUUCUUUUUAUUGCACUAACAUUUGAAUAUCAGAUAUAAAUAUAUUCAUAUCAUGUUCGUAAAAAACCAUUCAUGAAAGCUCGUGAUUUUGUACGAACUAAAAAAGACAUGACUUUGAGUUUUAUCUUAUGUCUUAUAAGCUCGUUUGAAUAAAAAGGACCCGUUUAAUAAACGUCACUUUCUCACAAACUUAUAGCUUAUUCUUACUAUCUUAUAGUGUUGUUUGAUAAACUAAUUCAAGUAGCUUAUAACUUAAAUAUCAUUAUUUAUCUCAAUUUUACCCCUACAAAUUUAAAUGAAAAAACUAAUAUUAAAUCAAUAUAUCACUUUUAUGCCAUUUCAUAUUUAUAAUAUAGUCCAACUAUUAAUUUUACUAAAUAAUAUAAAUUCAAUCAACUAGCUUAUCCACUAUCAGCUAGAAGCUGAUUAUAGUGAAAACAUUCACUUCUGGAUUGUGUGUCUGAAUAUGAACACUUAUUUUGCAACCCUAACAAAAAAAAUAGUUAUAGCUUAUCCACAAAUUGUUGCGGCCAUUGUUCACAUUUUGCACACAAUCUGGAUGGCACACAACAUUCUAAGGUUCAAUUUUGAUAAAGCAAUGAUACAUACAACAGAGAUAAAAAUUGAUUAUUCUGUUACUAUGAGUGGUAACCUAUCUGCUAGGUGUUGUGUGUCUUCAUAUUCGCCUUUUUUAGAUUCUUUCUUGGUGCCUACCCAUCAUCUGAGAACCAAUGAGAUUACGCCUAUUUUUCGGAAGCCUCCAACUCCUCCUUUGCUGAAGGUUAACACAGAUGACUCGAUAAUUAGAGCUCACGCCUCUUGUGGGGGUAUAUUUUGAGAUCAUUUAGGAACGUUCCUUGAUGCUUUUACUUGUAACCUUUGCACUUGCUCAAUUUUUAAUGCCGAAAUUCUAGGUUAUCUGGGCUUUGGAGUAUGCAGCUCAAAAUUGGUGGUGAAAUAUUAUGUUUAAGAGUGAUUCAACUAGUGCCUUAUUAAUUUUUAAAAAUUCUUCUCUAGUGUCGAUCUCCUAUCGGAAUCGGUGGCAUUAUGCUAUUCGACUUGGAGUUCAGAUUAUGUCAUCCCAUAUUUUAUGCGAAGGCAAUUGUUGUGCUUAUAAGCUUGCGAAUAUGGGGCACUUGGUUCGGGGAUCAGUUUCGUUGAAUGAUUGUCCUAGAGACUUUGGAUGGAUUUCUUUAUAGACAAAUUUAGUUUGCCUAAUUUUAGAUUCCCUUAUAUUCUUUUCUUCUUUUCCUCUUAUCUUGUUUGUUGAGGGUUUUAGCUUGGUCCCCCUAUUUUGUGUGUGUGUGUGAUUGGGGGGUGACAACCUGGUUAGGAUGUCGGGGAUUCUCUUUGAUGCAUGCUCUUUCUCUUGGCUUAUAAUUUUUUUUUUUAGCGUUGAGCACCAACGUUUUCAAUUCUUUUUAUUUUGGAUUUCUUCAAUACACAAUUCCAUGAUAAAAAAAAAAAAAAAAGGCCCAAUUCUUCGUAAAAAAAUAAAGAAAUGCUCUCGUUAAAAGUUGAAUUCAAGACCUCCCGCUUACUAAACAAGUGCUCUAACCAACUGAGCUACAAGAGCUUCUUGGCAACAUUUCCAUUACAAACAUAUAGAUUUUAAUCAAACAACGAAUGAGUGGGAGGUCACAUUUCUCAUAUAGAGCUUCUUGUUCACCCUUACGCGUAUAUUGUCAUCAAUCGCCUUAAAAUGAAAGAGUAUACGGUCAUGAUUUCUCAUAAUUUUAGACAUGCAAGCUAGCUUGUUGACUAGAUUGCGGGUUAUGCUAUCUCUUUACUUACGAGUCCUCGUUUUCUUUGCCAUCCUCCAUGUACUUUUGUUAACCUUUUAUGGAAAGAUGUUGCCAACAAUUAUUUUAGUCGUCACGUUCAUGUCUAAUUCGGUCUAAGGACCCUCCUAUUAGGGAAAAAAUUAUUUUCUCUGUCAACUUUAUCAUUACUCACACUUAAAGUUAAAGUCUUUGAUUCAUGUAUUAUCUAUUUGUUUGAUAGGAAUUGUUGCUGAUAUUGACGAAAUUUCAACUUGUCAAAAUGGAUCUAUCAACAUAUUGUCAAUUUUUUUAAGAUGUCACGUGAAAAUAAAAGCAUGGACAUAAGAUAUGACUUCCAAGCCACAUUUAUAUAAAACAUCAUGCUUCAACGCACUUCAUGUAAUUUCAUUAUAUUCAUUAUAAUAAUAUUUUGUUAUACUCAUAAUAUGAUUAUGAGUAUAAAUUUAUUAUUAUAAUGAAAUUACAUGAAAUGUUAACGCAGAUGUUGGGGAAAAUGGAUCUUUUAAGUAGAUAUUAUUUGAAGACUUCAAUUUAAUGCAAUACCAACCAUUUAGCUAUUAUGGGGGAGUGUUUGGUAUGGUAUUUUGAACCGGUCAGAUACUUCAAGUACAUUGCAAAUAACGUCGUUCUUCGUGCUCAACAACUAAGUUAACUUUUUCCACUUUAAAAGAAUUUAAGUGAUUGUUUUCGAGCCAUUUCACUGGCUUGUGUUUGGAUUAUCUGAUCUGAUCGUAAUAACAUAUUAUUUGGUCGCAAGGAAAUGUCAUCAUCUCAAACUAUUGAUCAAGUAAAAAAAUCCAUGUUUGAUGGUGGAUUUAGGCCAAACACCACUUGUUUUCUUAUUGUCUUAAUCUUUGAUGAAUUAAUCCUCUUAAUUGUUUUUACUUAUUAGCUUCUUGAUAUUCUUUGAUUGGUUCUACAUUUGUUUAAACUUUUUUUUUAUUUCAUAUUCUUUGUACUUGUGUUAAACUAGUCUUUUAAUAUAGAGUAGUGAUAUUUGUAUACCUUUUCUAAACAACUUCCAUGACAACUUUGUUUUUCUCUAUUUUGAUUGGUCAAAAUUAAUAGAGAGAGAAAAAUGUAAAGAGAUAAUAAAAAUGUAAUGUGAGUAUGAGAGAGAAAGUUGUUAAAAAAUUGUUAGAAAUUGGUUGUACAAAUAUCAUUUCUCUUUAAUAUAUUCAUUCGACUUUUCACAACACACAAAAAAAAAAAAAAAAAAAAAAGAAGAAGAAGAAUAGGUGUGGAAAUGAACACUUAUUUUGCAACCCUAACAAAAAAAAACAGUUGCACAAAGGUAAGGGAAAAUUCGUUCGUGAUACUUCUAUCAACUAAAUGCCUAAGUUCUUCCAAACUAUAAAUGCUACAUAUUUUAUGCUCAUAUAAAUUCUUUUGUUAAUCUCAUGUUAUUAUUAGAUUAUUUCUUAAAGUAAUAAAAACUAUCAUCUUCAAACACACUAUUUUCGCAUUUUAGGAAUUAUUAUUUUUUAUAUAUUUAUUAGUUAGAGCUUAAAUUAUAGGUUCUUCCAUAGACCAUCAAAAUCUCAUCUCAAAAAAUUCUUACGUGAACUUUCAUCUAACACGUCAUUCUUACACCCAGUCAAUUAAAAUCUUACACCUCAUUAAAAUAAUUUACUUUUUGCUACACCUCAUUAAAAUAAUUCUUACUCCAACAAUCAUAAGUUUUUGCUUUGAAUUUACUUUUUCCUUAAUUUUUUACUUACAAAUUGUGAAACAUAGUUCACUUUAUGUUUCAAUUUCCUCCAUCGGGUUAGAAAUCCAAUGAUUAAGCGAUAGACAAAUUGAAAAUCAAUAUCGAUAGUGGCUCUUGGAACUGAGAGAGAGAUGAAACGAGGCGGUUAAAGCUCCCAUUUCUGUAUCCAUUUUCUUAAUUAAAAUCACACUUAUUUUUAAAAGUUAAUAAUAUAUGUCAUAUUUUUAUUGGUUUAGUGUAAGAAUUAUGUGUUGGAUGAGAAUUCACGUAAGAAUUUUUCAUCUCAUAAAUGGUUAUGUAUAUAUUUUUUUUUUUUUGGUGGUGAAACGGUUAUGUAUAUAAUAUAACUAAACAAUUUAACUUGGUUAAUGAACUUCAUCAAAAGAUAAAUUAUUCAGAAAAACAUGAAUUCAAUUCCUUGAUAAAAUACUAGACUUUAUCUCUGUUGAACUCUCCCUUUCCCAUAAGAGAUUCAGAGGGAUAAAAAUAAAUAAAUAAAUAAAUAAAAUACUACAUUUGGAUCAGGUAUUAGAAUUUUGAAGUAUAUAUCCAUUUGUUCUUUCAGCUUCAAUCCAACAUUCUUACAAACUAUAGAUUUUUGUUGGACCAAAUUACUACGAACUACAAGUGAAUUGUUGGCGUCAAUAAACUAAGAGAAAAAAAAAAGGGAAAAUAUUUAUUUUUGUCUUGGGUUCUUCAAAGCCAAUCUUCAGAAGAAGGAAAAAAAAAGACAAAAAUACAGAAAAUGCUCUCGUUGAGAGUUGAACUCAAGACCUCCCGCUUACUAAACGGGUGCUCUAACCAACUGAGCUACGAGAGCUGGUUGGUAGCAUUUUCCAACCAAUCAAUUUAACCUUUCUUUUUAAUAAAGCAGAAUGAUAACCGCGUGCGAAAAUGAGUGACCGAAAAGGUAAGUUAACAAACAAAGGACAUUUUCGUCAUUAUAAAAAACCACCCACAUGUCUCAUUUCUUUCUCAAUACAAAAAAAAACUUCACAAAAAACAACACAUUCAGACACACACACAAACACACACACACACAUACACAGUGUUAUCUUCAACACUCUCUCUAUCUUCAAUUUAGGGUUCCGAAUUUUCCACCAAAAACAUGGACUCUGAUUCAUGGAUCUCUUCUCGUCUCUCUAACUCUUCACGCCGUUACUAUUCUCGAUCCGGUUAGAACCAUCAUAAUUAUUUAAUUCCAAUUUUGAUUAUUUUUUUUUGUUGAAAUUGUUGGUGAUGAUUUGUUGAUUUGUUUUUGGUGUUGUUUCAGAUCUGUUUCUAGGUGGAAAUGAUGAUGCUGAACCUGGCGGUGGUGAUGAUUUAAGGGCUGAAUAUCUUUGCCCUUUUUGUGCUGAAGAUUAUGAUGUUGUUUCUCUUUGUUGUCACAUUGAUGAAGAACAUCCUCUUCAAGCUAACACUGGGGUGGGUAUUCAUAAAAACUCUUUCUUUAUUUAUUUUUUUGUCUUUUUUUUAUAUUUGUCUAUGAUAAAAAUUGUAUUUUUAAGGUUUGACACUUUUCUCUGGGACAAAAUUAUGUAGUGUAUGUAGUUUAGUUUGUUUAUUAUAUGUAUGUAUGAAUAUUCCUCAAAUACCAUUUUGCAUAAAGAUGUGUUAAAUUUUGGUUUUUUACUUUCAAACACUUGAUAUUAUUAAUUAAGGGUAUACAUGGAAAAAAUAUAAAUAGAUGCAUUUAGUAAUUCAAAAUGAAGCUUAUGUUCAGGGACAAUUUUUUUGAAAAAUAAAAUGUGCUUAUAUUUUGGAACAAUUUAUUUUGAAAUGUGGUUAUAUUUUAGGGGAAAAAGGCUUGGUAUUCAGUGACUUUGGAGACAAGUCACUGUAACUUCAGUGGAAUUUUGUGUUUUAUGAAAGAGAAAUCAUAGAUAAGAUGAAAGAGAGCAGUAUAAGAGAGAGAUAGACACGAUGUCAUGUUGACUUUCCCACCUUAAAAGUAGCGAAUCCGGAUAUGGGAAAGUUAGUAUGAGUUUGCGUUGAGAGGUCUUUUUAUUCCAUAAAUUUGAUAGGUUGUUUGGUUAGUUCGUCUUUUAUCUAAAGAUUUAGUCUUUAUAGAUAUACAGGCUCUUCUUCUCGGAGUUGUUGUUCUGUGCAGAAAAGAUAUUUAUUUUUUCUGUUCUACCAAUUCUUGUUUGGUGUUCAAAAUGAUGCGUGUUUUGUUUCUGCUUAUUAGUUUGAAUGAGGCGUGUUUUAAUUAAUCUUUGUCCAUUAUCAUGGUAGGUGUUUCUUUGUUUUUGGUGUUUAUAUGCUGAUGAUGGUGAUAAUUGAUGGCAUUGGUUAUACUUUUCAGGUGUGUCCUGCUUGUGGGCAAAAGGUGGGAAUGGAUCUUGUUGCACAUAUUACCACGCAACAUGCAAAGUUUUUCAAAAUAUCCUUUUUCAAAGUUGGUUUCUUUGUUCUUGUUUUUAUUUCACUUUUAGUUUGAUUGUUGCUCAUUUUUGUUGCUGCACCAUUCAUAUAUGUUUUUGGGGGUAAGAAUUAAAUAUGUAAAUUUUUUAACAAUUGAUAUGCAAGUUUGUUGGAAAUUUAAAUUUUCCAUCUUCAUAUUUUAUUGCAUUCCUGGAAAACAAAUUUUAUUUGAAGCGUUGAAGUGUCAUGCCGAAAAAUGUGUACAUUUAUGAUUGGUUUUGCUUCUUAGAAAUGAUGUAUUUAAACUAUCAAUCAGAAAACCAGUAUGUUUAUAUUUAUCAUGUGUUUUCUUUUAUUUGUCUCUUAAAUGUGCUUCAUUUGAGGUUGUGUUUAGUUAUUUAUUUUAGUAUCGUUAGAUGGUAUUUUCUUUGUGCUGUCUCUGUUGUUCUAUCCAUUUAAUUUAAAUAAAACAAGUUGUGUCCGGUGAGUACAUCUUAAUUUGGAUUGCUUUGAGACAAAAGUUUUUCCAUAACCAGAAGUUUACGUUCAGCGGAAAAGGAGGGUGAGAAAAGGAGUCACUAACUCAACAUUAUUUAGAAAAGAGUUGAGGGAAGCAGGAUUGCAUUCUCUUCUUGGAGGUUCUUCAUCCACAGCUUCCUCAAAUUCCGAACCCGAUACUUUGUUGCAAUCGUUUAUUUUUAACCCAGUUGUAGGUGACGAAGCUUUGAGCGAACAAUCUAGUUCUUCCAUUGAAGCUGCCAUAGUAAAAGAUAGCUCGAAAGAUGAUUUCGUGGAAAGGUAUGUAUGUGGAUAUUAUUGUUGGAUUAAGAUUUCCUUUGCUUUAGAAAUGGAUGCUAAGUUAUAGGUGUUUUUGUAGGGUAUAAUAACUUUUAUCAUGUCGUAAUAUUAUAUUUUAAAAUCUAUUGAACAUUUUGACAAGACACUGAAACAUGAUAAUAUAUUAUUUACACCAUCGGUAUAUAGAUUACUUAACUCUUCUAUAUAAAUGUAUAGUACUGGAUGCAUGUGCCCGCUAUUUACUCUGCAUAUACGUGAUUAUAUUUGUGGACACUUUGUUUGAAAUAACUAAAUGAUGAAAUGUUGUAUUCUUAGGAGUAAUGUCUUGUUUUCAUGUGACUUGAACUGUAAUUGAUCAUUUAUUUUUGAGCAUCUUAUCACACAGCUUCAAAGUAUUUUCUUUUAAUGAUAGUAUUUGGUAUUUAGUCCAAAACAUGUAGUCUGACAGUAGCUAUGGUUACAGAAAACCACAAGUACAGCUGUCAGAUGAGGAUCGAGUAGAGAAGACCCGAAGGUUUGAUUUCGUGCAAGGGCUGCUGAUGUCUACAAUUCUUGAUGAUGAGUUAUGACUGCAAUUGUAGCUGGUAUACUAUAAUAGGAGCAGGAGCUGAUCGCGAGGGAGGGAGUUCAUUCGAGUGUUACAGAGUGGCAGUAGCUAGAUCGGAUAAAUAUGUAAUGAAUGUAUUUAUAGUUAUGUUCAUAGAAUGCAGAGAUGAAGAAACCUUUAUCGAGUAAAUAUGUAAUGAAUGUAUCUAUUGUUAGGUCCAUCUAAUAUGCACCUAUUCAAAUAUGGGCCCUUAUUUCAGCUGCUACACUAGACUGACAUAAUUGGCUAACAUAAAAAAGACUCUGGUCCCUAAAAGCAGUGCAUGCACCUGGUUUGGUCCCUAAUAAAAUUUAUUCUAACCCAACUGUGGACUCAUUCUUAACACCAUAACCAUUUUUUUCCCCUUUAUAUCUCCUCAUUCAAGCAAUCCUAUGUUUGUCUGAAUAAAUGGCUGUAACGCUGCGUUCGAAGUGUCAAUCUAGAUUCACCUCCAUAUACUUUACCUAUCAACGAUUGUUAAUACCCAAACAAAGUUAAAGUUAACUGUUAAAUGUUAAUGAUGUAGAAUUUAUAUCGUAUUUUUUCAACAAAAAAAAUAAAAAUAAGAGCGAUUUAUUUAAAUAGUAAACUUUUAUCUUGUAAGUAUAGUUCAUAUAGUAACUGUCAGGACAUUUGAUAUGGUGUGACAUGGAUUCAAAGUUGUAAUUCUCCACCUCUUAACAUUUAGUUCAUGUUUGUCAACAAAAGAAAAAAAAAUUAGCACAUUUGAUUUCAUUAUUAGAUGGAGAAGAAAAAGAAAAUGACUUUAAUAAGAAAUGAUUUUCUCAUUUUAAUUUCUCUUAUGUUCCCUCUCAUUUUGUUACAUUUUCAUGGCCAAGAUUAAACUCAACCAUGUUGAUUUGCAUCAAAAAGUAAUCUUUAAACUAUCUCAUGUCUUUUAUUGCUUAAGGCAUUCCAGGUAUACCUGAAGAGAUUCUUUCAAAAAUCCUAAGACUACAAACCAAUAUGACUCCAUCUUCAAACUAUAAUAUAGAAUCAUUCCCUUGCAAUAUCUUAAUAUUUUAGACACAGAUUUUAACAACUUGUCACUUUCCAUUCCAAUCAAAGGAAAACCGGUUACUAUGUUUUUUUUUGGUUACCAUGUAUUAUAGGUCGCAAAAUAGAAAAAUCAGAUGUCCAAAUAAUAAUUUAAUAUCCCAUUAAUUUAGCCUAUCAAGAAUAAACCAGUAAUACUGGAAUUCUGUAGGAUAAUUACAUCUCACAAUAAGGAUGUGAAAACUGAGGAUUAUAAUGUACGUCAUCAUCUAUACAAAACUAGGCAUAAAGUGCCAUGAAAAAUAUACAUUUUCAAGAGACAAUUUGACCUUUUUCUACAGAAAAGCAAAAACUUGGUUAAAGGCCUUGCAUCCCACUGAAAACUGAAGAACAAACCCUUUUUAUCUGAUUUUAUGAUAACACUUAAAAGUGAUCCUUGCAAAGAAAAUAACGGUAUACAAGGUGAGACAUCAUAAGCUGGAACUUGGCUGCUUCAGCUUAUUUAUUAGAGAAAACUCUGCUCAUCUACAAUAUGAAUAGUUGGUACUAAAGAAUUUGUAAUCAGGAUGGUUAACUUGCAAUUGCCUAAUCCAGUUGUCAGCAGCUCGCCUCAGAGAAUUGGCUUUCUGAUCUUCAGAAUCCCCUUCAGGGUCCCAGACAGAAAUUUUGAACUUGGUAAAAGCAAGGCCAAAUAUUGGUAGAGAUAGCUUGGAUGAUAUGUCCUUAUCUUUUCUUGAACAAUUUAUCGUAGUUGGACCUGAUUCAAAUAACACGGUUAUCAUUGGCAUCCUUACAUAUACUUGUCUGUUAUUAUGGAUAGAAAAAAAAGGACAGCAAGACAUACUUUGUAAAGGUGUUGACAGGGAAUGGAAGGUUAGGAAACAUGCGCCCAAAUCCUGCAGUGUGGGACCGACAGGUAUUCUAUAUAUUGGAUACCUACAUAAUAUAAGAAGGAACAAAUAAUGUUAAAUUAGUUAUUAUUAUCAUGUGCCAGUAUUGUCAAAUAGCGAAUAUAAUGGCGCUAUAGCGCCGCGGAAUUCUACUGAACCACUACUAUUCCGCAAUACGCAAUUUAGUACAAAGUUUUGACAGAUAGUGGUAUAAUAGUGCUAUAGCACUGUAUCGUAGCGAAAUUUGAAAAAAACACAAUUUUCUGCAAUCCACGAUUGAAAACACUGUCAUGUGCACUAUCCAACAUUAACAACGUCCUAAUUAAAAGUAUAUGAUAAACAUACCAAGCUAAUGAAACCCAACUUGAAGAUGAAAGAUCACAGCUCCGGUAGGUCUUCAAAUCAGGAAAUUGCUUAGCAAGAUCAUGAAUCUAAGGCAAAAAUCAUAAAUCUUCGUCAUGAUUAGAAAGCAACAUAAUCUAAAAGUGGAACUGAACCAAAGGACAAUGUUCUUACCUUAUCCACUAAUGGUUCACGAUUAUAAGGUGAUUCAUGCUCAAAGUAUUCGUAUACAAGCUGACCAAGUGCACUGCAGCUUCCAUUCUCAUCACUUGAUGAACCUGUGAAAGGUUUACUUGCAAGUGAAAGUCUUUCCAGACCAAGGUUGCUUGCAUCUGAUAAGUUAGGAAGGUUUGAACUGCCAUUAACUACACUUUUAGAUCCUCUUUCAUGAUGAUAGCCACUGCUGCUGUCGCUGCUCGUGUCUCUAGCUGAUUCAGAGUCACUCUCCUUACUGGGUUUCCUGUAAUAACAUGGAAAAGUUAAUGAAUCUGUUGUGUAGAUGCACUAAAAGAGUUCAUGGAAAAGGCUUGGAUAUAGGUGUCUAUCAGUUAAAAUUGGAUAAAAACAGACGAGGGAAAUGAUAGAGUACUGCAUGGUACAUAUUACUAGCAUGUAUAUGAUUUGGUUUUCAUUAUAAAGUUAUGGGUUAAACAUGUAUCCUACUAAGUGUCAUUUAGAGUUUGCAAGCAAUAUCAAGUCUAUGAGCAAUAGGACAAACUAGAUUCAGAAAAACUUCUGGUGGCUGGUGACCAUCUUACUAACAGUUAGUGUGAUCUACAAGUUAUAUCAGCAAUCUGCAGUUCUGUAAACAUUAUAGAUGAUUUGUUGAAUUUAAAUUUUAUGUAUUGCAAGUGUAAACAAACUUCACACAUUCAUCCAGACAUGUUGUAAUACAUCAUUAGAUGAACUAGUUUUACAUGGAUAGUACGUCAAAACUAAACUCUAAUUAGUGUAUAGGCCAUCCGGUCUUGCAAGUUAGAGGAUCAAUUAUCCGAGUAUGUGUACAGCUGACGAUGGAUCAGUAACAGACAGCAUCAGAAGUAACAAUCACUCUUUUUUAUUCACAUGACUUGGGUAGGCAACAAUCUAUAAUCUAGUAAUAUAAUACUAAGUUUAAAUCAGAGGAAAAUCUUCUAGUCUGCAAUUCUGAAUCACAUUACUAAUAAAAUCAUCAAUGAAAUGGCCUAAAAGAUCUUACUUCUAAGCUACGUAGAACCGAAACUUCAGAUAAUGUUUGACAUGUGUUGAUAUCGGACACAUGUCGUGUCGGUGUCCAAGACACUGAUACAACACCGACAAAUGUGGUUAUAUUCAUUUACUUUCAAUUUCUCGAAUUAUUACCAGUGUCUCUGUUAGGGGCAGAGCUAGGAUCUAAUAGUAGUUUGGGCAAUGACCAAUCAACUUAACAUGAAUUGAAGACCUAUCACAUAAAUCAGUGUGCUGGUCUACAUGUGCUCUCGUUAUUGUGUUUUUAUGAUUUGUUGAAUAGACACAGGAAAGCAAAGCAGUUGAUCACCCCAUCUGUACUAAUUAUUGCAUAUGACAUUUACAACAACAACCAAGUCUUAUCCCACUAAGUGGAGUCGACUCAAUAGAUCAAAUUAUGCCAUAAUGUAUUAUCAUAAACCAUAUUCCGAUCCAACUCAUUAAUCUCUAUUAUCUUUCUUAAUAUAGUUUUUCUAGGUCUUCCUUUGCCUCUAGUGAUCUGACUAUACUCUACAUGGUCUACUCUCCUUACUACAGAAUCUGUAGGUCUUCUCUCUACAUGUGCACACCACCUAAGCGUAGUUUCCAUCAUGUUUGAAAAAUUAUUCAAAAAAUUUGGCAGGGGCUCCCCUGUAAGUCUAUUACCAUACACCUACAUCCGCCCCUAGUCUAUGUUAGUAUCAGUGUCGUAUCUCAUGUCCGUGUCUAAGUACUUCAUAGCUUCUGAGAUCCUUCUUCUAAAUGCUUUUAGUUUAUACUAGUAGCAAAGAACUACCUCAAAACCUAUUUAAGGCAAAAGAACAUACAACUUUCCAGCAAGUUGAAAAAGGCAAAAAAGAGAGAAAAAAAGUGAGGAAAAAACAAGCUUCAUAAACUAUUAUAGGGAAUAAUCUAAAUCAACGACAAAUCAUCAACAUAAAAAAUGUUUGGCCUGUCAUUGAAAAUAAACAAACAUUCAUCUGGUCCCAAAGCAACCAUGAAGUAUAUUUCGAAUUUUCGAAUGUUAACCCCAAAUGUAGCAAGAACAAUACAUCAAAAUGUUCAAAUGAAAGGAAUUAAAUCAAUCACUGGAAAAGCAAAUCAAGAACAGUUAUUUUCAUACUGAAGAAAGCGCUAACCUUAACCGCAGGGAAGGCUUUGAUGGAUCAAUAUAUAGCUGAAUAGCAGACAAAGAGACAUUGUAAUACUGUUUAACAGAUUCAUUCCCACUCAAUACCAAUGGAACACCAGCUCCAUAUACACUCCACUCCUUGAAAGAUUCCCACAAGUCCCCAAGCACAAAGUAUGGUUGCAGUUCUGGCUCCACUGUUUUCCAUCUUCUCUUACUUUUCUGUUUGUUCACACAUAAAUAAGCCAAACAAUUCUCUUUGAAAUUAAACCAAAAAAACCUAACACCACCUUAAAAUAGUCAAAAACAACCACAAUACACCAUUUCUUUGCAUUAUUAACACAAUUCAGUGGAUUGUUGCAAAGUAAGUUUCAUCCUAAUAACAUUAUUUAUUUGGUUCUAAAGAGCCUAGCGGUGAAACUCAAACACACAAAGUACUGAGAAGCGAGAAAUUGUAGGUUUGAACAUGUGCCCUAACAUAUCAAAUGUCUUUGCAACCUUUUACCAUCUGAGUUAUACUUACAAAAUAGUUUUAUCCUAAUAACAAAUUAAAUACUUGAACACAUUAAUUCAUAAACAACCACAUUACACAAUCUAUUCCCACUGUUAACUCAAUUGAAAGGAUAUUACCAAAGUAAGUAUAAUCCUAAUAAUCAAUCGAACACUUGAUCACAUUAAUUCAUAAACCUAACUUCUCUCAUUAAGUAGUUCGGUCGGUGAACUAAGAGACAUUGAACAUUGAAACAAUUUAAAAAUCAUGAAAACUGACAUAACCACUACCUUACUAACAUAACAUUUCUGUAUAAACUUUUUUUUCCAUAAACCGAACACAAAGUUUGAACCCUAAAAACCAACAUAACAAAUAACUUACUAUGCCUAUGUUUGGUUCCAUGUUUGAAGUAGAAUUGAUUCUAAUCUGAAUGUCUUUUGAAUCUAAAAGUGAUUUUUACACUUAAAUUUAUUGUUCAAAUCACUUUACAUUCAAUUCACUUAUAAGUAAAAUCAAUUUAACAAAAUCAAUUCGUUUCAAAAUCAAUUUUUACUAAAAACUAUCAAAAUCGCUAAUUUACUAUCAAAAUUCAUGAACAAAAACACAAUAGUUUGAAUCCUAAAAAUUAUCAAAAUCACUAAUUUACUAACAUUUGUCAAAACAAUUCAUAAACCCAACAUGAAUUUGAUUCAAAUUCCAAACAUUUAACAGAAAAUUAACAAAAAUCGAACUCAUAAAAUAAAUAAUUAUUAAAUAAAAUUGAAAAGCAUUGUUUUACUUUACCAAUGGAAAACUAUGAGCGGGAACAUGCGGCGUGGUAUGCUCAAGAAACCGACACAAAUUAGAAGCAGCAUCAACGGUUGUUUCAAUCGAAGUGGAAGAAACAGAGUUAUCAGAAGAGGAACAAGGUGUGUUAUUGUUUUCAAUUAACGUUAAUUCAUGUUCCUCUUGUUGUUCCUGUUCCUGUUGUUGUUGUUGUCUCUGUUUCCGUAGCGCCGGUGGGCAGUAGAAACGAUUCUCGACGUGAUGGCGGGUGUUACGACGGCCGACGAUGACGGCGCCACCAGAGACCGACAUUGUGUUUCCGGCGAUGAUGAAACGACGACGUUGAGAUGUAUGUAAAGGUAGGUCAAGAGUUUUGAUUGAGUCCAAACAAAACAAUAAACAAAGUUUUGUGACUCUGUGUGUGUAAGUGUUAGUUAAGUGAAAAUUGUGAACUGUGAAACACAUGGGUUUUAACUUUUUUUUUUUUUUUUUUAAUUUAUUUUAGUCAAAAAUAUAAAGUAUUUUAAUUUAUUUACACUCAAAAAUUAUAAACUUUUAAUUUAGUUGCAGUCAAAAAAUAAAAAUCAUUUUUUUUAAGGAAAAAAAAAAAACUUUCCCUUCUACGGUAGUUGAUUUAUUGAGAAGUAGUACAUACUUCUAGAAUGAUAUGUAUUCCGUCCCCACGCCUAAGCACUCUUUUUGACUAAGAAUUUGUCUUUAAUAUAAAGUUUUUUCAAAAAAUUACAUGCAUUUUUGUAAAAUAUAUCCCUAAUUAAUACUACUAAUUUAUUUUAAAAUAUGAAAAAUCAAAUUUAAUAUGCAUACAAAUAAAGGACAAUCUAGUAAUAUUAACACAUAAAAUAAACAUAUUAAUUGCACUAACAAUUUUUCUUAAAAAAUGUGAAAAAUGCAAAAUGUGUUUGCAUAUACAGGGACAAAGGAGUACUCUCUCCGUUUCUAGUUAUAAGUAAAAUUGACUUUUUAGAUUCAUUUAAUUAAUGUUGUAUGUAAUUCAUAUUAUGGACCACAUAUACUAUUAAUUUAAUAAAUCUAAAAAAAUCAAUUUCUUAUAAUUAGAAACUAGAAACUGAGGGAGUAAUAAGGAAGGAAAGGUAGGACACUAGAAGUGUCUAGAAAUAGGAUGGGUUACUCAAAGUAGGUCCAUAAGUUACUCAAAUAUUUUUCACUUAAUAUCGUACUAUUAUUAAACUUCAGAUAUAUAUUUUUCGUAUUUAUUUAUUCUUUUGUUGUGGGAGGGAGAGAAUUUUAUUAGUAAUAGUGUACUAAUAAUCAAAUUAUAAUUGUCUUGAAUGAGAUUCAAACUCUAUUUAUAAUAGUAUCAAACUCUAAUCAUUGAGCUGAUAUCUUUUUGACAAAAAGAAAAACACAAUGAAUCGAAAGAGCCUAAAAAUUACACAUAGUAUAUACGAGGUUUUAUUUGGGUGACAUAAAUGUAUUUUGGAUAAGAGAGAAUGAUGAAUGAAUGAUUAAAAUAAUUUAUUUAAAUGAGAGAGACUGAUUGAUUAAGAGAGAAAUAUGAACAAUGUCACCAAUAUCACCUAAAAACCAAUGUCAUCCAACUGCAAUCCAUAGAAUAUGAAACCUAGUUGGAAAAUAACCAAUUAGACAUCAUUCACUUUGUUUGUAUGUAUCCUUAAUGAUUAGGACCGAAUGACUUAACGCACGAAUUAAAAUUAAAUGCAAAAUAUAUUUUCUUUUUUAAGUUCAAAGGUUUCAUCAGGAUACAUAUAGUGUGGCAUUCUAGCAACACAUGAAUUCCAUCUUCAUAAUUAGCACUAGAAACAACACAAUUAGUUUGACACGAUACAUAUGUUGUGGGAAAGUAACCACGACAAACUCGCCACACCAAAUUCUUAAUCUUUGGUGGAACUUUGAGUUUCCAAAUUAAAUUGUAUCUCCCAAGUCUACGUAAAUGAGAGUUACCAACAAUAUUAUCCACACACGCGUUGUCGCACUGCAUACAAAAUAUUUACCAUUCUUCUCUGUCUUCCAUAAUAACUAAUACUUACCAUUUUUGUACCUUCUCUUUUAUUGACUAAAAUUUAUAUGAAGCCAUCAAAUUAUGAGGUUCAUAUAAAUUUGCAUGACACAUGCUAGUUAAUAAAAAAAAUUAUUAUAAAAUGUACAUGUUGCGAUACAAACAUACUAUUUUAAUUUUCUUAAUAUGCGUAAGUUUGUACAUGAUAAAAAAAUUCUUAUACUAAAUGUGUUUUUUUGUUGAUGAAAGCGAAAAGUGUGUUUUAAAUAGCAUUAUUCAUGGUAGUAAUUUUUACACGAGAGAGAUUAAAAUUUAAUUUGUCAUCAUUUAAAAGCAAAGAAAAUUACAUAACAAGUUUAUAUUGGUAAACUUAAAUAGGGGUAAUAGUCAUUUUAAUCCUGAAUGUGUAAUGAGUAGUCAGUAAAAUCCUUCAAUAUAUCAACAUUUUAAAACAGUCUCUAAUUAUGCCAUUCGUUAGUUAAAAAUAGUCCCAGUAAAAUAUUUUUUUGUACUGAGAUAUUAUUUUAGCUUCAAAACUAUUUUGACUAAUAAAAUGCACAAUCAAAAACUAUUUUAAAAUUUUGAUAUAUUCAAAGAUUAUUGUUACUAUUCAUUACAUAUUUAAAGAUUAAAAUGAUUAUUACCACUUCUAUACUACUGCAGUACUACUAAGAAAUUAGGUGAUAGGAUCCAUUCUCUAUAGCAAAUAGUACUGUCAGUAAAAAGUAGUAGAAGAGAAUUAAAGUUCACUCACCAGCUUGAUUGAAUUUUGAACCCCAUAAAGCUUGAAGAUUUGACUUGUCUCGAAGUUUCUAGAUAUUACGAGGCUUGUUUGAUUGAGUUUUGUUUACUUUUAAAAACUCUUUUGACCCUUAACUAUUUAAUUGGUAUCGCUUUGGUCCCUUAAUUAAAAAAAAAAAUUGUUUGAGGAUUUUAAGUUUUUUUUUAGUCUCGUUUUGGUCCAUUCUGUUAGAUUUCCGUUAGAAUUUUAAAAAAAAAUUAACUCCUGGACACAUGUCACCUUGUCAUUGGCUCUAAGUUUUUUUUUUUUUUUUUAUAAAAAAAAAAUCUCAGAGCCAAUAACAAGGUGACACGUGUCCACACUUAACGUUUUUUAUUAAAACUAACAGAAACCUAACAGAAGGGACCAAAACGAGACUAAAAAAAAACUUAAAAUCCUCAAACAAUCUUUUUUUUAGUUAAGGGACCAAAGCGAUACCAAUUAAAUAGUUAAAGGACCAAAAGAGCAUUUAAGCCUUUUUAAAAACUAUUUUCUAAAUCAAUUUUAUGAAACUGUUUUUCAAAUGAAAAAAAAAAAAAAAAACAGUUUGAUAAUUCUAUUUUUAAAAUUGUUUUGGGAAUGAAAAAAAUUGUUUGAUAAUUUGUUUUUAAAAUAUGUUUUGAUUAUUUAUUUCAUAAAAAGUAUAUUAAAUUUCUGGUUACACCCAGUUUUUUUAAAAAGUUUUUUAUAAUACCAAAAUUAUCCUUUUAUAUAAAUUUUCUUAAAAUCUUGAUUUCAUUCAUUGUCACUCUAAAAUUCCACUCUCUUUCACUCACCAACGAUUAAACAAUCCUGAUGUUCAAUUAAUCUCUAUGGAAGAUUAAAGAGUGAAUCCAAACAUCUUUCAUUCAUACUCGAUUGCAUAUAAAUAAGUGAAUUUUUUUUUCUUUUUCAAUAACGUUGGUUUCAAUUUUCUUCUUCUUGUUUAACUGCACUAUACGACAGUUUCAGUUUUACAUUGUUGACGUUAACUUAAAUUCAGUUUAAGUAGGUUCAUGUAAACUUAGUUUACAUAACCUAUUUAAACCGAGUUUAAGUAUGUACACUUAAACUCAGUUUACAUGACCUACUUAAACUAAGUUUACAUGUAUAUACUUAAAUUGAUAUUACGUAUAAUCAUUGAAGAAUGUUGAACUUUUAGAUGUACACUUAAACUUAGUUUACAUGACCUACUUAAACUGAGUUUACAUGACCUACUUAAACUGAGUUUAAGUAUGUAUACUUAAACUCCGUUUACAUGAGCGACUUAAACUAAGUUUACAUGAUCUACUUAAACUGAGUUUAAGUAUGUACACUUAAACUUAGUUUACAUGACCUACUUAAAAUAAGUUUACAUGUACAUACUUAAACUGAGAUUACGUAGAAUCAUUGAACAAGGUUGAACUUUUAAAUGUACACUUAAACUCUCCCUACUAAAACUGAGUUUAAGUAUGUACACGUAAACUCAGUUUACAUGACCUACUGAAACUAAGUUUACAUGACCUACUUAAACUGAAGAGGGAUUUUAGGGUGUAACCAAGAAAAAAGGAAAAUGCUUUUUGAAAAUUAAAUUUUAUGAAAGGGUAAUUUUGUCAUUUUAAGGUGCAAUCAGGAUUAAACAUGGUGUAAUUAGAAAAACUCUUAAAUUUAUACUUUAGUUUUUUAUAAGUAUAAUACAGUAUCAAAAGAGAUUAAUAAUUAUAAACCUUAAAAUUCCUCUAGAAAAAAGUAGGAAACUUAAAUGUGUCAUUUUUUACACAAACAUCCCGUUAGAGUUGUUCGCAAGUAUGCGUCGGAUAGAAAGGUCAUGACUCAGACAAAUCAACGAGGUCAAUUUAGAUUUCCUCAUAGUUUACACUAAAUCCGACCAAACCCGAAUUGAUUUGGUUCAAUAAUAGACUUAUGAUUUUAAACUGAUAAAUCUAUAAGUUGAUGGUAAAUAAUAAUUUUUCAAAAUUUACAUUGACUUAGUUUAGGAGUUUUGAGUGGUGUAUCUUGAGGUAAUUCAAUUUAGUUUAAAUGUUAAAGUUUUAAAUAAUGGACUUCAAUCAAAAUAUUAUGGGAGGGGUUUGUGUGAAUUUGACAAAAACGUUAAGGCAUCUAGUGAGGCGACGCUAAGAUGAAAUGUCAUCAUAGGGGAAACUCUUGUCAUGGUAGAGUUUAACAUAAAGAUUCAUGGGAGUAGUGAGUGGUUUGGAACCAAGUAAGCUCGUAUAUAUUACUAAGUUAAAGCAAUACUUGUGCAGGAAGAUGUAGAGUUACCAAGAUGUGAAUAUGCAACUUCUAAACCUAGGAAACAAUUAGUUAUUUAAUGAGCAAAUCUUGUCUUGGAAGUACCAACAAUGAUUACAUCAUCAUCAACAUAGAUCAAUAGGUCUUUAAUGGCUUUAUUUGGAUGCAUCUAAGAAAGUUAAAGGAAAGAGUAAGAAGGGAAAGAUUGUCUAAGGAAAGAAAAAGAGUAGAAAGUGAGAGGAUUGUUUUGGUUGUUUGGUACAAGGGAAAGUGGAAUAGAAAGUUGGAGGAAAGAAAGAUCUAUAUUUUCUAAUUGACAUAAUUGCCCUUAAACAAAAAUAAUAUGUUAGUAUAUAUAAACAUUGUAUGUACUUUAGUAGAAGAAUAAAAUAUGUCAUACAACAAUCGAAUCAUGUAUGCCUAGAGACUAACAAAAAGUUAAAUGGUGAAUUACUUAAAAAAAGCUAGGUGUGAAUUGAAAAAAUAAUAAAGAGACACCAGCACGACGACUUGCAAAAACGCAAAACCCACCAGAGCCACGACGACUUGCAACAAAGUGAACGCACGACUAACCGAAUGGAUUCCAAACCCAUCAACCACCUUGGAUUUGCAUCGCGUCCAGCAGUAAGAUAAACUCCGGUGAAGAUAAACGAGUCGCGGUGGUGCCGCCGACUGAAACCCCAUUUGGGGGUUGGUGAUGGAAGCCAUCCAAGACAAGCAACCACCACCACUUUUAGAUCUACAUCUUGAUGACGAAAUUUUGGAUUUGGGAGAAGAAGAGAUUGGUGUUUUUGACUUUAGAACUGAUUACAUAAUUUGAAACUUUUAACUUUAAAAGUGAUUUUUACAUUCAAAUUUAUUGUUCAACCCAUUUAUGUAAAUGUAUUUAUAUAAAUCACAUCACAUUCAACUCAUUUUGAAUUAAAAUUAUUUUUACAAAAUCAAUUUAUUCAAAAUCAAAUUUUGUUACCGUAAAUCAAAUAUACACAUGUUUCGAUAAGCUUCUGGUAUUAGAAAAUUUCGGUGUUCGAAUUGCAGUGACUCAUUGUGAUUUUGACAUCUAUGUUGUUUCUAACUAAAUAAAUAGUUAGUAUUUGGUUCAACAUUUUUUUCUUCUUCUUCUCUUUCUUCUUUCUAGAAUGGCGUCUUAAGACUGCAAUAUUUAUAGAUAUUUAUUGAGAGAGACUGCAAUAUUUCCUCUUUUUUGGAUAAUAUGAAGCAGAAAGAGUACACAUUUGUUGAAUAUAAUGCCGUAUAAUACGUGGUUCUUUGAAUGCUUCCAACUCAAGUUUUGACCUGUUCACAAAAUUCUUCAGACUCACCUUAAACUAAACCAGCUUGACAGUUUGAUAUUAUUUUUUUAAAGAGCAAAAAACGUCAUCGAAUUAAAGAAUAUUAAUCAAUUAAUUAAUUAAUUUUUUUGGUCUUGAUCAAUUAAUUAAUUAUACCAGUGGUAAACAUAAAAAACAGAUCUACAGUCACGCGGCAACAAAUCCAAAAAAGUAUGUCAAUGUCAUUAUUUGGUAAAUAUUUUAUUUAUCAACUUCAACUUUCAAGUUGCCCUUAAGAAACUUUCAAGUUUAAACUAAGACCUCAAAAAAAAAAAGUUAAUAAACUAAGACCUCUAAAAACAAAGGUAAUAAACUAAUAAGAAUAUUCUCUCAACAAAAAAUGAAACUAAGAAGAAUAUAUUUUGCUUAUUUACCAGAAAAAAAUAUUUUGAUUAGUCAAAAGAAGAAGAAUAUUGUGAAUUAAUUUGACACUGACGAUUUUUAGAGCUGUAGAUAUUUACGUAUUUAAUUGUUGAUGUCCAUUCAAGUGAUUUAACUUAAGUUGAGGUUUAUUCUUUUGUUACUAAGUUGGAGGUGGAGAAGGAGACUAUUUGCAUAGGAGGAGAAACGACCAGUAAAGUAGAGUGUGUUAUGUUGCUUGAUAAUAUUUUUUUUUUUGUAGGAUAAUGUAUUAGAUAAAUGGAUUUAGAAACAUUACCCUAUCAAAGGGUACACGGUAAAGGAGGUCAUCAUAACCCUAUGCCUAAUGAUCCACUUACUAUAGAUUUGCAUUCAAGCUUAAUUAGGAACAAAGCAGAACCUCUCAAGGUGUAAUUUUUCACAUGACGAACAAAGCAAUUCCUUUAUGAUAUAAAAUGUCAAUAUUGUUAUUUCUUUUUAAUCAAAGCAUAAUAAUAAAAAAAAAAACUUAUAAAAAAACUCAUCAAAUUCAUAAACAAACCUAAAUCUUCAUCAUAUAAAGAUAAAAACCCAAAGUUUAUUAAAAUUUUGCUAUAAAAAGGAUAACAAUUUUGACAUUUUAUAACGUAAAUGAUUAAAUCAGAAAAAGAAAAAGAUAACGAAGGAAAGUGUUACCUGAUUAUAAAAUAAAUUAUUAAAUUGAAAAAAAAAGUUAAAUAACUAAAAUGUUAUCUAUAAUUAAGUUAAUAGACGAAAUAUGUAAUUUUGCUAAUUAAUAUUGCGUAAGUUUUUAUUUAUUUUAUAUACGUUGUUUUGGAUUGAAAUUUGAGUGGUCUUAAAGGAGAGAAAAACAAAAGAGAAAAGAAAAAUUAAUAGUAGAUACAAUAAUUUUGUUAGUCCAAAUAAUAUAGUUUUCUUUAAAAAUAAUAUCAUUCAAAUUUAUGUCACGUCACAAUGAGAAAAAAAAUGGCCUAACGACCUUGUAUUACACAUCAUCAUCAUCAUCCAAAGUCUAAACAAUACAUCUUCAGUUCCUAUAAAUACAAGAGUGAACUCCACUAAUAAAUCACACAGGCAAACAAUUAACUUAUUAAUAGUUUGUUAUUUCAUACAUUAAUUAGAAAUUUAUAAUUCAUUAUCAUCAUGGGUGUCUUCAACUUUGAGGAUGAAACCACAUCUAUUGUAGCUCCUGCUAGACUUUACAAAGCUCUAGUUACAGAUUCUGAUAACCUUAUCCCAAAGGUUAUUGAUGCCAUCCAAAGUAUUGAAAUUGUUGAAGGAAACGGUGGCGCCGGAACCAUCAAAAAACUUACUUUCGUUGAAGGUUAGUAUAUAUGUGUGAAAAAUUGUAGUGGCAAGAAACUUUUUUUAACCCUAUGUAAAGAAAAUGUUUAAAAACUAAAUUGGUUUGAGAACAUGUUUUCUAUUUUUAAUUACAAAAUUAAGUGUUAGAAGAAGAACAGCUACGCCGACAUGGUCGACAAUUUAACAAAAGUUCCAUAUCACAAUAAAUAUCUACUUAGCAUAUGUUUGAAACUACGAUGAGAUUACUCUCAACACACGACCACCAAAAACUUAUAUCCUUAGCUUCAGGUUUUUUACGGUAAAACAAAAUGGGAAACAAGUAUUAAGAAUUAACCCUUCAAAGAAAGUAUUAAGAAUUAUGAUACAUAACAUAAAUAGUGGAAGUCAACAAAGCAUUUUUGAUGACAUUAUUACUAGUAUUAAUUUUAUUUUUUUUUGAGGGGAAAGUAUUAUUAUAUUAUAUUAUUAUAUGCGUUUAAUGGAGAUCUAAUGUCGGUGUAAAAUUAUUUUACCGUCGGUAAGACCAAAAAUAAAUAAAUUAUUUUACCAUGACAACUAUGACAAUUCACCAUACUACCAAAUAAGCCCAUUUAAAAACAGUUUUUCAAUACUUGACCAGAAAAACUAGUAUUUUUUAAAAGUAACAUCAAAUAUUUGACUUGUUGAUUGUCAAGUGUAUAUCCUCUUUUCUUUUAGUGUUAUGUUAACUUGUAUCCUAAGAGUAUAAGAUAAGAAACUAAAUGUAGAGAUUUAACUUUGAAAUUUGUACAUCAUAAUUUUUUUUAAUGACACAUUGUGCAACAUAAUCUUAAAAUCUUUUUUUUUCUAAAGGAUAAUCUUAAAAUCUUAAAAACUUAUAUUUUCUUUUAUUAUAUAUAUAUUGGAUUAUUUGUUACUGUGUUUUUUAUAUAAUUUUUUUUUUAUGAGAAACAGUAAUUUUUUAAAAUUAUUUUUAAUAGCUUCUUAUACUAAUUUUUAAUAGGCUUAAUUGCACUUUUGGACCGCUAUCUUUNNNNNNNNNNNNNNNNNNNNNNNNNNNNNNNNNNNNNNNNNNNNNNNNNNNNNNNNNNNNNNNNNNNNNNNNNNNNNNNNNNNNNNNNNNNNNNNNNNNNGAUGCCACGUCAGCGUUGACCGAGUCAACAAUGAAUUUGGGGUCCAAAACUGCCAAAGAAUCAAAACAUAAGGGGCUGUUUUGUAUUUAAAUUAGUUAGGGGUCCAUAACCGCAACUUUUGAAAAGAUAGGGGUAUAAAAGUGCAAUUAAGCCUUUUUAAUAACCUAAUUGAACUAAGUGAAUGUCCAUCAUGUUAGUAAUUUGUGAAACGAAUCAAUUAUUAUGAGCAGGUGGUGAAACAAAGUAUGAUUUGCACAAAGUGGACUUAGUAGAUGAUGUUAACUUUGCUUACAACUACAGCAUAGUUGGUGGUGGUGGACUUCCAGACACAGUGGAGAAGAUCUCCUUUGAGUCUAAAUUGUCUGCAGGGCCAGAUGGAGGAUCCAUUGCAAAGCUUACUGUGAAAUACUUCACCAAAGGUGAUGCUGCACCUAGUGAAGAGGAAAUCAAGGGUGGCAAAGCUAGGGGUGAUGGUCUUUUCAAGGCUCUUGAAGGUUACGUUUUGGCAAAUCCUGAUUACUAAAGCAUAUAGCUAAUUGCUUGCUUGCUUUAUACAUGGUGUGUUGUGAUGCAUUUUAUUAUAUCAUGUGGGCUUGAUUUGGUUGCCAAAUGUAAUUUUCUAUUUUCCGUUUGCUGAAGUUUGAGAUUGUAAGUCAUAUGUGUACCUCCCUUCAAGAAAUUAUAAUAAUACUUCAUCUAUUCAUUUUUACUUUUUUUUUAAAAAAAUAAAAAUUGUAUGCAACUAUUUAUAUGUGGCUUUCGAAUUUUAAGGUUAUUGUUAGAACGAAAACUAAUAACUGAAGAUUAAAUAAGAGAACGAAAGAAAAAACAAUGAACAUACAAUAUUUUUUAACACAGUUCAAUCAAUUGUACCUACCUAUGUGACUAUAGAUCAACUAUUGUUCUAUUUCUAUUACUGUGACAAGAAUUAGGGUUUCAUAUUACAAGCUGUAUAUAUGAAUUAUAUGUUAAGAGUCCCACAUCGGUUAGGAGUUGGCCUGACAAUUUAUUUAUAAGUGGGGGGCAAUCCUCACCUCACAAACUGAUUUUGUGGGGUUGUGUUAGGCCUAACCACGAUUUCUAAUUCUAUACUUCAUCAGUUAUACUCAUCAAUCUUUUAGACUCUAAGAUAUCUUGGUUAACCAAAAAAUAAUUGAACAUAAGACAACCCAUUCUCCAUAAAACAAUUCUCACACAAUCUUUCCAUAUCAACAUACACCGUGGCUUCUUAAAAAUAAUAAACCCUAUGAGAAAAGUAAAAAAACGAGGCAAUCUUGAGAACAUAGUGGCCAAAUAUUAGAGGACAAUUGGUAUGAAAUGAAUAAAAAAGGGAAAAAUCUUACAAAUGAAUGAAGGAGUACAAGAGUGUUUAUAUAAUGGAAGCAUGAAAAUAACUAUAACUAGAUCAAAAGAGAAAAGAGUAAAUGUCCUAAAAUGUCCUCUAUCUCUCUUGGUAUGAUUCUUUCUCUUAUCUUCUUCAUUGUGCAAUAUCCUCCCACAAGUUGGAGGUUGGUAGAUAUCCAACAUCCCCAACUUGGAUAGAAGAAGAUUGAAAGGCUGCAGAAGUAGUGACUUGGUGAAGAAGUCUGCAACUUGAUCUUUAGAGGAAAUAGGUAGUAGCUUGAAUAAUCCAGCUUACAUUUUUUCUCUAAUAAUAUGGCAGUCAAUCUCAAGGUGUUUGGUAAUUUGUUCAUGAAAGACUAGAUUAACAGCGAUGUAGAUAGCACUUUGAUUGUCACAGUAAUGAACAUGUGCUUUGGUACAUUGAAUCUCUGAUAAGGUAAAGCAACCAUUGCAAUUAACAACUAGUAGAUGCAAGUGCUCGUUAUUCAGCUUCUAAUGUGAUCUAGAGACUGUAAGUUGUUUCUUUGUUCUCCAAGAAACAAGAGAUUUGCCAAGAAAGAAUCAUUGACCAUAGAUUUACCACUUUCUUACAUGGAAUAAUUUGGUGAAUUUGCCAAAUUUGACAUCACAUCAUCGCGAUAUCUAAAAUUGUAUCGUGCAAUGAAGCGUGUCUUUGGUUUCAUGGUACAUAAAUACAAAAGUGAUUUUAUACACAUAAAAUUAAUUCUAAUAUGUGAUGUCUACCGAAUAUGUUUCUUUAGAAUUGAUUGUAUAAUUUGAAACUUUUAACUCUAAACUACAUUAAAGUUUACUGUUCAACCCAUCUACUAUUAAUUUAAACAUAAAUCAUAUCACAAUCAUCUCAUUUUUAACUAAAAUUAUUUUAACAAAAUCCGGUUGACAAAAUUCUAAUGAUAUCAUGAUCUUACUGAAGAGUCAAAAUUAAGCUUUUGAUCAAUUGCAGUAAUUCAUCGUAAUUUUGACAUAUAUGCUGUUUAUAACUAAAAAAAAAUUAUUGGUAAUGUUAACUUGUGUUCUAAGGGCACAUGUUAAGGAACUCAAAAAUAACAAUUUUACAUUGAAAAACAUAAUAUUUUAACUUUUAAGAAGUUAAAUGCACAACUUUUUGAUACGUACUUCUAUAAUUAGUUCUUUAACAUGUGCCCUUAAGGACAAAAAUUAGCAUUUGUCAUAAAUUAUUUGUAUUAAAUUCAACGUUUUUUCUUCUUCUUCUCUUUCUUCUUUCUAGAAUGGCGCCUUGAAUUGUUCAAAAAAAAAAGAAUGGCGCCUUGAGACUGCAAUAUUUAUAUAGACCGCAAUAUUUUCUCCAAGUUGAAUACUAUGCAAUACUAUAAGACUAGGACUCCCGAAUUUCCUCUUCUUUUUUGGAUAAUAUGAAGCAGAAAGAGUACACAUUUGUUGAAUAUAAUGCCGUAUAAUACGUGGUUCUUUGAAUGCUUCCAACUCAAUUUUUGACCUGUACACAAAAUUCUUCAGACUCACCUUAAAAUAAACCAUCUUGACAGUUUGUUAUUAUUUUUUUAAAGAGCAAAAUACGUCAUCGAAUUAAAGAAUAUUAAUCAAUUAAGUAAUUAAUUUUUUUGGUCUUGAUCAAUUAAUUAAUUAUACCAGCGGUAAACAUAAAAAGACGGAUCUACAGUCACGCGGCAACAAAUCCAAAAAAGUAUGUCAAUGUCAUAUUAUUUGGUAAAUAUUUUAUUUAUCAAUUUCAACUUUCAAGUUAAUAAACUAAGACCUCUCAAAAAAGGUAAUAAACUAAUAAGAAUAUUCUCUCAACAAAAAAUAAAACUAAGAAGAAUAUAUUUUGCUUAUUUACCGAAAAAAUAUUUUGCUUAGUCUAAAGAAGAAGAAUAUACUUUGCUUCAGCAAAAAAUGUAUUUUGUAUGUAUUGUAGUUGAGGUUUAUCAUAAAUUCAUAAUGCUAUUGUAGUUGAUAUGAGACGAAUAGUCCUUUAUCUUUUUUGUCCUUUAUACCAUAAAAGAUUAAAUCGAAAAAAGAAAAAGAUAAAAGACGAAAAUGUUACUUAAUUAUAACAUAAAUUAUUAAAUCAAGAAGAAAUGAUAAAUGACGAAAAUGUUAUCUCAAAUUAAGUCAAGGCACGAAAAAUGUAAUUUUGUCAAUUAUAUAUAUUGCUUAAGUUUUUAUUUAUUUUAGGUCAAAUACCUCUCGGAGUCCUUUAAGUUUCACGUUUGUAACGGAUAAGUUUUUUAAUUUUUUAAAGUUUCAUAUUGGUCCUUUAAGUUAUUGAAAAAUUAUGUCGUUAACCUUUCAGUCAACCUCCGUUACAAAAACGUUGAGAUGUCCAUUAUGAUUGACAUGAUAUAAGGCGCCGCGUUUUUUCCAUUCCAUCGUGUUCCAAUUUGAAGAAUCUAGGCAAUUUGAAGCCAUGCUUUUCUUAAAAAAGCUUCAAAUUGGUUGUUAAUGAGGUUAGGGUUUUCAAUUUGGGGAAGAAUGGGUGAAGAUUGAAGAAGAGUGAUGAGGAAUGUGAUGGGGUAGUAUUGGAACACAUUGGAUAGGCCAGAACAUGGCGUUUUAUGCCACAUCACAUAUUUAACGGACAAUUAAACUUUAUUGUAACGGAGGUUGACUGAAAGGGUAACGACGUAAGCUUUUAAUAAUUUAAAGAACCAAUCUAAAACUUUAAAAAUUUAAAGGACUGAUCCGGUACAAACGUAAAACUUAUCUCAGGAGAUAUUUGACCUUUAUUUUAUAUAUGUUGUUUUGCAUUGAAAUUUGAGUGGUCUUGGAGGAGAGAAAAACAAAAAAGAAAAAUAAAUAGUAGAUGCAAUCAAUAAUUUUGUUAGUCCAAAUAAUAGUUUUCUUUAAAAAUAAUAUCGUCCAAACUCAUACAAUUAAAAAUAGUAUUCAAAUUUUAUGUCACGUCACAAUGAGAAAAAAUAGCCCAACGACCUUGUUUUACACAUCAUCAUCAUCAUCUAAUGGCCUAUCUAAAGUCUAAACUAUACAUCUUCUUUUCCUAUAAAUACAAGAGUGAACUCCACUAAUAAAUCACACAGGCAAACAAUUAACUUCUUAAUAGUUUGUUAUUUCAUACAUUAAUUAGAAAUUUAUAAUUCAUUAUCAUCAUGGGUGUCUUCAACUUUGAGGAUGAAACCACAUCUAUUGUAGCUCCUGCUAGACUUUACAAAGCUUUAGUUACAGAUUCUGAUAACUUUAUCCCGAAUGUUAUUGAUGCCAUCCAAAGUAUUGAAAUUGUUGAAGGAAACGGUGGCGCCGGAACCAUCAAGAAACUUACUUUCGUUGAAGGUUUUUAUUUUUAUUUUUUUAUUAUAAGUAAUCUAAUGGUUAGAAAUCUUAAUUCUUAAUACUUGUUUUUCAUAUUGUUUUACGAUAAAAAACCUGAAAAUACACAUAUAUGUUUUUGGUAGAUUACUCUCAACACACACGUAUAUCAAAACUUAUAUUUGCAGUUUCAACAGUAAAACAAUAUCGGAAACAAGUAUUAAGAAUAAGGCUUAAUUGCAGGUCUGAUCUCUUAUGUUUACUUUAGUUUUUAAGUUGAUCCUUUAUGUUUUAAAAGUUUUAAGUUGGUCUCUUACGUUUUAAAAGUUUUAAGUUGGUCCAAAACGUUACUCACGUUGGAAUAAGUUAGUCCCUCCAGUCACUUAACGUUUAAAGAUCCAUGUUGACAAUAUGGGUGAUGAAACUUAACUUAUUUAGAAAAUCAAUUUUAAAACAUUUUUUAUUUUUUUUUGUUUUAUUAAACUCAAUAUCAUGUCGCGGAAGGACUAACUUUAUUCCAAUGUGAGUAACAUUUGGACCAACUUGAAACUUUUAAAGCGUAAGGGACCAACUUAAAUCUUUUAAAACAUAAGAGAGUAACUUGAAAACUAAAAUAAAUAUAAGUGAUCAAACAUGCAAUUAUAAGCCUAAAAAUUAAGAUAUAUAACAUAAAUAGCGGAAGUCAACAAAACACAUGAGAAUAUUCUUUUGAUGACAUCAUUACUAGUAUUUUUUUUAAAGAAAUCAUUACCGGUAUAUUAUUACAUCAUAGAUCUUAUCUUCGUGAGUUUAGCUCAGUUGAUAGAGACAAUGUAUAAUAUAUGCAAAGACCGAAGUUCAAACAUCAGUCACCAUAAAAAAAAAAUUAUGGAUCUUGCUAACAAGUGCCCUAAAAGCAUUGUUUAAAGAACCCACAAAAAUAAAUUUUGUCUUGAAAAUAUAAGGCAAACACAUGUAAAAAUCAUAACUAUACAAUUUUCAAUAUAAAAAUUACUAUUUUUGAAUGCUUAAAUAGUGCCCUAAGAACACUUAUUAACAUUUUUCUGAUAUUAUAUGUGCUUAAUAGAGAUCUAAUGUCGGUGUCUCAUAAGUCAUAGCUCAACUGGCAAAAAUACCGAAAUUGUUAUGCCGGACGUCAUGACCGGGGUUCGAACCUCAAUACCUCCACUUUGUGUGUGUGAGUUUAUGGUGGCUUUGCCAUCUCUUCUAUAUACCAAAAAAAAGAGAUCUAAUGUCAGUGUAAAAUUAUUUUACCGUGACAAUUAUGACAAUUCACCAUACUACCAAAUUAGCCUAUUUAGUAACCCUUUUUCAAUACUUGAUAGAAAAACUCUUUUUUGAAAGUAACCACCAUAUGUUACUCUUGUGGAUUGGAUUAUUUGUUACUAUGUUUUUUAUAUAAUUAUUUUUUUGUGAGAAACAUAAUUUUUUUUUAAAUUAUUUCGGCUUAAAUACAAUUUUGAUGCCCCUAUUUUUAAAAUUGUUAAUUUUUGAUACCUUUAUUUUUAAAAUCUGUUUUUUAUUCAAUUAUUUAAAAGGCUUAAUAGCAGUUUUAGCCCUUAAAUAUUACGAAGUUAAGAUUUUGUCCCCUAACAAAAUAAAAUACAAUACAUCCCCGUAAGUACUGCCCUUUUUGUAGUUUUGGCCGCUCAGACCAAUUUUGACCAAGUCAUUACUUAUGUAGACGCAACGUGUGUAUUUUUUUUAAUUAUUAAAAAAUAAUUAAAAUAAUAAUUUUUUUAUAAAAAAAAUUAAAAAAUUGAAAAUUAUACACGUGACGUCCACACAGCAUUUACUUGGUCAAAAUUGGCCUGAGGGGCCAAAACUGCAAAAUGGCAAUACUUAGGGGGAUGGAUUGUAUUUUAUUUUGUUAAGGGGCCAAAAUCGCCUAAUACUUACGGGGCCAAAACUGGUAUUAAGCCUAUUUAAAAAGUCAACAAAAUAUUUUGGUUUCAUUCCUCUCUGAAUGAUGUGGCAUGUCCAUUAAUGACAUGAUGUUUGUGAUUGAACUAAGUGAUUUCCAUGAUGUUUAUGAUUGUGAAACGAAUCAAUUAUGCGCAGGUGGUGAAACAAAGUAUGAUUUGCACAAAGUGGACUUAGUAGAUGAUGUUAACUUUGCUUACAACUACAGCAUAGUUGGUGGUGGUGGACUUCCAGACACAGUGGAGAAGAUCUCCUUUGAGUCUAAAUUGUCUGCAGGGCCAGAUGGAGGAUCCAUUGCAAAGCUUACUGUGAAAUACUUCACCAAAGGUGAUGCUGCACCUAGUGAAGAGGAAAUCAAGGGUGGAAAAGCUAGGGGUGAUGGUCUUUUCAAGGCUCUUGAAGGUUACGUUUUGGCAAAUCCUGAUUACUAAAGCAUAUAGCUAAUUGCUUGCUUGCUUUAUACACGGUGUGUUGUGAUGCAUUUUAUUAUAUCAUGUGGGCUUGAUUUGGUUGACAAAUGUAAUUUUCUAUUUUCUUUUGCUGAAGUUUGAGAUUGUAAGUCAUAUAUGUGUACCUCCUUUCAAUAAAUUAUAAUAAUACUUCAUCUAUUCAUUUUUACUUUUUUUUAAAAAAAUGUAUGUAACUAUUUAUUUGUUGUUUUUGUUAUGAAUAAUAUUAAUAAUAUAACGUGGAUUUCCAUUGUCCAUAAGCUUUCUAUAACUCCUAUGUUU